UUCUCUUUCAAAAACAGAAAACCUCUCUCUCCCCCCUCUCUUCCCACUCUUUUUCUUUCUCCCAAACUUGCCCCUCGCCAGUCCAUCGCUCGUCGGCCUCACGUCGUCGAUCUGCCAAUCGCCACCUAGCCCCUCAACGGUCUUUUCCUCAUCCUCAAUCUUCUAGUGACUGGUGCCUCCUCCAGCAGUCGAUUGAUCGGCUUGAGCCAGUCGCUUGUUCUGCGAGUUGAAGAAAAUGGCUACCGAGCCGGUCCAGCGACCUAGAUUGACGGCGUGAGCCACACCGAUCUCUCCCCAACUUCAUACCUAGCCUCACCAUGGUUGGGGAUUGGCAGCUCAACCACCAGAUUAACUCUGCUAGUCUGUUCUAUUCCAACGCAUCCAAGGCCGAUUCAAUUAGGACUAGUUCUAUCCAAGGUGAACUGGCGGUCCAACUGGUCCCUAGCCAAUCCGUAGGCGAUCCGAUCCAUCCCUCAAAGUUCCGAUCACGUUCUGGUGACGUUGAUUUUUUCCGAUUGUGCUUUGUUUUGAAGGAAAAUGCAGAAGGUAGAUGUUUUAACCUUGAAUCCGAUAAGUUAAGCAACGUAACCAAUUGGGGCUAGUAUUCAAGUUUAGAUUUAUAUAAUAUGCUUAGUUCUAAGAAUGAUGAUGUGAUUGAAUGAUCUACUGAAGAUUGAUGUUCAUUGAAGACAAAGAUGAGUUUGUUUGAAUUUGGGUAGUGUUAAUAUGCAAUUCCGUGCUUCUAUUGUAUGCUUAUUGUUUUGGUUGAGAUGAGGUACUAUAUGAACUUUUCUGACCUCGAACCCUUCUAUGUGUAAAAAAAAUAGACUUCCUGAGCUUCAAUUUGAUAAGUCACGCAUCCUGAGAAAAUGUCAUUUGGUCAUCAAAAAAUACCUCCGAAAUCAGUCGAUUCUGCAGUAGUUAUAGGUACAUUUGAAGUUCUGACUUUGUUUUGAUUUUCUAUAUUAUUUUUUUCAUACUUAUUUCUAUGAGCAGAAUCUGGAAAAACUUUCUUCACGAGAUUUAUGCAAAAUUGUCUUGAGCAUGACAUCUAAUUUUUUUCAGAAUUUUUUAAGAUGUUUUGAUUAGACAAAAUCAUCAAAAACCAAACCUAGGUCUAUGUACCCUACACCAGAUCCGAAUUGCAUUUGUGUGAAAUUGAAGAUGUAAUAAGUCAAUUUGACUUCACAUCCUCUAUGAGAUUUGUAAUGCAUGUUUUAAGGAUUCUAGAAAAGUAAGAUUCAUGUGGAUUUCUCAUCAUUUGGUAUGUCAAUUGCAUGCACGAAUGUCUGUAGGUUCUGGUGCAAUUAGGGUAUCUCACAACAUGCAUUUGUUCUGCUAUUUUCGCAUAGGUUUGUGUGAUCCAAAUUAAGCUCCAAUGUGUCACAAAAAAUGUUCGUCAUGUCACAUCCUACAUAUAAAAAAUUUCGUAGGUUUUUUUGCACAUCAUUAGUUCAUUGAAAUCAAACAUGUUCAGUGAUAAUCGCAUUAGUUUAGGGGUUUAUCAUGAGCAUACUAAAACCCAUUCAUUAUGGUCUCUUAAAGACCAAACUAUGCAUUAAUGCCUUCUCGACAUUUGAAGUGUGUGUUACAAGUUUCGCGUCCAUAUAUGGCAUGUCAUAAUUGAACUUUAUUUGGUAUGUAAACAUCAUGCAUCAAUUAGGCUAAUUGCAAUUGAAGUUCAUCGGAUGUGUCAUUCCUAGUUCUAAAUCAUUUUGCAAUAUUGAUGGAUCAUGUGAUUUCUUUGCAUCCCAUAUAGGGUUAAACGUUUUACCCAAAUCAUUGUUGCAUUCAAUCAUUCGUCAUAUGCAAGUUUCAUACGAUUCAUGUAUUGUUUAAACGGUCUUUUGAACUAUUAAACAUAUACCAUGUUCUGUUUUGUAAAUGGCUGACUCACAUACCUUCACGAACAUCAAUUUUUGACCCUCGAUUCAACCUUGAUUGAACGCCGACCCUUCUAGCAAGUUUUAGGACUCAUCUAAAUAUUUUUAAUGCCACUUUUUGCGCGAUUUGCUUAUCACUUGACCCCGUUCCCUUUUUUUCCAAGUUAGAUUAGAAAUCUUACUUAGGUUAAAUUCGGAACCCCUGUUUUAUCCCUAUUUAGUCUGACUUUCGUUAUUUUUGUGUGAUUUUUCAGUUAGAGAUUCUUAAGCCGGACCCUUCACAGACUUUGUUUCUUACUCUUUUGAGUACGUUGUGGUGAAAUUUCAUAUUUUUUAGAGCCCUUUUUUUUUUUUUUUUUUGGAUCAGAAAACAGCAGCUCAUGAUUUACUAUUGCAUAUCAGGAAAUAUUGCACCAAGAACAUCAGUGCAUAAAAGAUCAAAUAAAGCAGGGGGGUUGGAUAUCCAGUAAGAGGGGAGAGUAUUGGUUCGACACACCUUAGCUGUCCAAUCCACGAGGCAAUUUGAGCUUCGGCUGCAAUGGGCCAGGGAAAGGCCCGGAAGACGAGCGAGUUUGACUUUGGCCCGGCCCACGAUCAAUUACACUUCCCAACUGAGUUCGGUGGAAGACUUUAACGCGUGCACAAGAGAGAGGCAGUCAAAGUGUACUUGUGGAGAGAGAAAGCUUCGGUUCUCGAUAAACGCUAGGGUUUCCUCCAUGGCUAUCGCCUCUGCCUGAGAAGCCGAAGCGGCGUUGACUGGCUUCACAAAACCAUCCACCAAAUGGCCUCGGUGAUCUCGACAGACGCAAGCAAUGGCGGCUCUGUGUCGAGGAGGGUCUCUCACGUCAUUGGAUGUUAAGUCCUCUACCAGAUUUGGAAUAAAGGAAGCAUCUAUGUUGAUUCAUAGCGUACCUGGAGGAGGUGGAUGCCAUUUUCCAGAUGAGUUUUCUGCCUCUUUCUUGAGUUUUGCUUUACCGUUUAUGGCUCAGUAGCUCUCUGUUAACGCCUCUGCUCUAGAGAUUGUGUAUUGCGGCUUUGGGGUACUAGGUCAAAUCUCUGUUGUUGUGUCAUGAUGUCCUGUUGUUCUGCUGAAUUUCUAAUGCGGUUUUGAACUUCUUUGAAAUUUUAUAAAUGUCUAUGUGGCUUGUUUCAGAAUACUUCCUUCCCCUUGAUUGCGUGCACAUUGUGUAAUUUUCUUGGAACAAUUUGUCCAUGGGUCCAUUGCCAAUUGCGUUGAUUUUGUUUAUCUGUUCUAUGAUGUCUUAUUGUAAAUCUUUGUUGUGAUUUUUUUUUUCAAGAUCCUUUAGGACAAUUUGCAUGUUGAAAUAGGAUUCAUCACUUUCAUGAAGUUUGCUCCAAGUUUCUCAAUCUUCGUUGUUGGAAAUUUUUUGAAAAAAACUAAAAAGGUCUUUUAUCGGCACUUUUUUCCAAAAUUGAAGUGAAAUGUCGGUUUUCCAUGUGGAAAUGAUUUUAAUACAUGUGAUGCUUCCAAUAUCAAUUGUUUAGCAUCUCUUGGAACUUCCGAUUUGAGGUUGAUCCUAUUGAAGCUUGGAUUGUAUUUAAAAUGCCUAUGACAUUUGUUAGCAGCGCAAUAUGCGCCCCAGAAUAGCUUUGGCAAAUGAAAUCAUACCUCACUUUCAACACUUUUUGUCAAAAAUUUUCAUCCUGAUGUUUUAAACACAUUCAAAGCCUCUUGAAGCAUCACAUGCAUCACAAAUGCAUAAUAACAUUUCAUUUUUUAGAGAUGCCUGUGAUUGUGUUUGGCUCCCGUUAUCUGAAUAAGUGAUCCAAUGCUAGCUUACUAAAAAUUGUUUGAUUGUCUAGGAAAUAAAGUCAAUGGGUCUACCUGCAUGUUUAAUUCCUACUAAUGCCUUUGAAUUUUAUAUGUAUGUUUAGGUAUGGUGUCUAUUUAUGUGGGGUAACCUUGGGAUUCAUUUAGAACAUGUCAUAGGGACUUAUAAGCGUUAGUGACCACACAAGAACACAAAUGGUCACUAAUAGCUGUAAAUCAUGAAAUUGGAUUGAGUAGGUGUCUAAAAGGACCAAUGCAUGAUUUGCAAAGGCCAAUCCCGAGACCCAACUUGAUUGACUUUGAAUCUUGUUUCAACUGCUUGAUUCUUUUUUAUUGUUUAAUAAUUGUGGUUGUUUUUGGCAUGAGUGGUUGUUUCUUUCCUAUUGUAUGUACCUUGUCUUAGUUUUUUUAGAAUAGGAUAGUAUAGGUCCUAAGAGGUGGAGGUCCCUCAAAACUUGAGGACAAUGGGAGGUCGAUAUUCAUUCCAACCCAGUUUUGUAUUCAUUUUUACCCAAUAUAUGUUUCGGGUCAUUUUGCAUUGUGUAAACACCCGAUGAAGUGCGGGUUUUAUUUUUUCCGCUUUAUUUUUGCCUAUCACCUAGGAUUGCAUGUUAGAUUUAUUGUUUUCCCUAUAACAAUUCACUUGAUUGUUUACUUUCUCUCUCAUCUUUAAAUUUCGAUUGUUUGCUUUCUUUUUCUUUCUUACAAAUAGAAAUUGCAUGAAAAUAGCCAUCCAUGCAUGGUCACUUAGGAAGUUAACAACCCAAAAAAGUAAGAAGAAAUGUUUGGACGCCUUAGGAAAUAUGACAAACUAUUAGGUAUUGAAAAGGUGCUCAUAGAAAUAUUAGCAUAACCCGAGUCCCCAAAUCUAGAAUCUCUAGUUGCGUAAGAAUCGAGGGACCAAUUUCAACCCUCAAUUGGGAUUUUUAGCUGACCACAAAGACGAGGCUAGUGGUGACUCUCAUUCUUUUUAGGUUGUUUUAAAUAACUAAAUAAUAAAAUCAACCCAUUGCAAAGGGUAUGGGCCUUGUCGAAGCUCACCAUAAUUUAGCAUACCCACUGUAGAAAGCUCCUAAUUGAUGAAGUGAUAUCAUCAUUAGGGAAUAGAGUACUAGUAGGAGGGCUACUAUGGUAAAGGUACUCUUAAAUUCAAUACUCACACCCGACCUCCUUCUUUGAGGUAUGUCACUCGUGUGGGUAUGAAUCGUGACACUUUCUACUGUCACGUGAGGUAUGAGCUUGCUCACAACUAUGAUCAAGCAAACUCAUGAAUGGUUUGUACUAAAAGGCAAGGUGAUAGCAUCUUUGUGGAUGCAAACCAUGAGGGAACUCUUAUGGUCAAGUACCCAUAAGCCCAACAUUUCCUCUUCUUGGUUCACAAAGUCAGGUUGCGACAAGGCCACCUUCAUUAUGUGGCAAGACCAUGGUGAGGCAAAAUUGCCUCGCCUGUGGCCUCGAUACCUCAUCCAAAUUUGGGCGAGGCUGUUGGCAAGGGCUUCUAGCCCUCGUCUAUUGGCUGGUGAGUGUCGGCGGAGCCUUGCCAACCACUAUGGGAAAAAAAAGCCAAGGGAGGAGGAAGAGAAAAAAUAAAAAGGAAAAAAAAUAAAAAUUUUAAUAAAAAUAUUAUUAAAAAAUUGCCACAUUGACAUCGACCAAAUGGUCGUUACUGGCAUGCGUUCACAUUAGCAUUGACAGGCAAAAUUAGCCGGAUGAAUUGAAUUGGCACAACUGUAAAAGGUUUAUAACUAAAUUGAUAAAAAAAAAGUUUAAAACUAAAUUGGCAUAAUUGCAAUAAAUUUAGAACUUCUUUUUUAAUUUCCUAGUUAAAAUUAUCUCAUGACUUAUUCUCGUUAAAUAUAAAACUCUGAUGAGUCAGUAUUAAGAAUAUCAACAUACCAUCACAUAAAAUUUCAAAAAACUUCAAUAAAUCCACAUGAUUAGAAUGUGGAAAAAAGAGACUCCACGGGCAUCCUAUGAAACGUGAAGGAUCACAUUCUAUAUAACCGGACGAGACAAUCAUAUACGAGAAUUUCUUAUAUCAAACAAUGACAACUAUAGUUGGCUCACUUUAUGAGUAUUUGGGCAUUAAUUUUCAUGUCCACUUUUCAUCAUUGAGGUUAGCAUAUUCACAACAACUCCUGAUGACUAUAUGCUUUCGCCUUAGGUCCUUCCUCCACUGUUGUCAAGGAACUGUUUGCUAACUAGCAAAAUAAUUAAAUCUAUUCUUUUAUUCUCCGAAAUAAAAUAAAAUUUAAAAAAAGAACAGAAAUUCGUUUAGUAACUUUCGUAUCCCCGAAAAUAAAUUUUUUCGUGUGAAUAGAUUUGGUAAAUAAUCAAGAAGUUGAGAAAAGUUGCUUCUUUGUUUCUAGGAAUAAUUUCAAAAUCGAGCCAAGUUUUCUAUUUUUCUCUUUUAUUUUCUCUUCAUCUUUCUCAUGGCCAAUUGUUGGCCAUGGUGAUGGCCAAUGAUUGCUAGGUUUAGGUCCCACUAGUUUGCCAAAGCCUCCCCAAGCCAAGGCGAGGCUUGGCCUUGGCAAGGGUCAGCCUCGCACUGACUAGGCUAGGUCUAGCCUCGUCGGUAGCCAAACAAGAUCGCCCAACCACCGACGAGGCUCAACCUCGCCAAUGGCCAAUCGAGCCUCAACAAGGCUCGAUCUCGCUAGGCCUUGCAUUGGCUUGGUGAGGCUCCGGCAAGCUCGCAAGACCUUGCAUAGCCGGUCACCAACCAUUGCCAUGGCCAACAAUCGGCUAGAGAAGAAGAAUAGGGAUGGAAAAGGAAAAAGAAAAAUAUAAGAAAAAUAUAAUAAAAGUAUUAAAAAUUAAAAAGAAAUUCUAAUUCACAAAAGAAUUUGAGAUUUCAUCAAAUGCAUUUUUUCCUGAAAAAAUAAAAUUUAAACAGUUACCAAACACUUUCAAAUGUCAGAAACUAUCGAAAAGAAUUAUUUUUAAGUCAAAAUUGUUCCCAAAAGUAGAACAGUUACCAAAUAUACCCUAAAGAUACUCAGUAGACACAACUUCAAGAUGUUUCUUAAGAGUAGCCACCAUAGAAUGCCCACAUAUAGUUCCCUUAAAUUCAGAUAAGUAGCACAUGCCCUUCAUUUCUCAUUCCUCGUCAUUAAAAUACACUUCGCAAUCAACAUGCCUUUGUCCAUCGCCAAGUUCAAUUUCAUCACAGACAUCAAAGAAGGAAUCGAAACCUUCCACUUAGGCCAGAGUUGGAUAACAUCACAUUUUCAUCCCUCUACUCUUCUUGAAAUUCUCCCAAAAUUGCUAUUGCCAUGAACACCUUGAAAUUGCUUGUCGGUGCUGGAAUGUGUUAUGAGGGGGGCUUUGGAGUUAAAAGAGUCGCUCCUCUUAAGAUUUUCUUUUCCACCUUAUCCCUUGAGGCAUUAUCGUCUUGCUUGACAAAUUUCUUCAAUGUGGCAUGGCGAUUGACACACCCAUGAAAGAAAGAGUUCAUUCUUUUCCUUCUUUACAUGAAAGACUUUUUCACACAAAAACUGACUUUCACGCGAAUAUGAACUUGACAAAGUCGCUCAUUAUGUGAGUAUGGAUUGACCCAAGUGUUUGAAUUUCCCGAAGAAGGAUCAAUUCAUACGGGCUUCUUCAUGAACUAAUCAAUCCUUCGUGUUACUACGUAUGUAAUAUCUUUCAUACACCAACAGUGAAUGAAAUUAUGCACCAUCACAUCUUAGUUAUGGUAAUUUGUAUGAUGUUAACUCGAGCUUGACCACUAGCGUGGUAGUAAUAUUAAUUCAGAAAAGCUUCUUAAACCUUAUAAUUGCUAAAUUGUUUUAGAAAAUUUCGGUAGUUUCGCUGGUCAUUAUAUUCUCCCAUAUUUCGUUAUGUCAUCGAAAUUCCCAUUCUGAGAGAAUUCUUUUCUCUUAAAAAAGGUUUUUCAGUUCUUAAUAUGCAUUUUUUUUUCCAUCCAUGGCCAACAGAUAUCCCUUAUAUUACCCUUAAACCACGAAAAAAAUUCAAAGAAGAAGAAGAAGGUGUGCAGUAUCAAACGUUCGGACUGAUACUUCUUCAACUUCGAAGCAAAAUGGCCGUUCGACGUCUUUCAGCUUCAGACGCGCGGACGACCGCCCCUGCUUCCUCCCUCACCUCGACGGGACUCUGCUCAAGUAGGCAUCAACGCCUCCAUCGACAGCAACGACUCGAGGCCCGGUGNNNNNNNNNNNNNNNNNNNNNNNNNNNNNNNNNNNNNNNNNNNNNNNNNNNNNNNNNNNNNNNNNNNNNNNNNNNNNNNNNNNNNNNNNNNNNNNNNNNNNNNNNNNNNNNNNNNNNNNNNNNNNNNNNNNNNNNNNNNNNNNNNNNNNNNNNNNNNNNNNNNNNNNNNNNNNNNNGGGGGGGGGGGGGGUGUGGAGAGAGAGACAGAGAGUUAUGGCAAGGCAUUGGUCUGGUACGAGGAGAAAUUGGGAAAGGUGGAUUCUGAGAAGGUGAAGAAAUGGAGACAAGCCCUAAUUGAAGCCGCCCAUUUGUCCGGUUGGCAUUAUUAUGUCGAUGGGUAAUCAGAGUAUUCCUGUUCGACCCUGUGGAAGAAUUGUUAAUUCUCUAAUCUGGUUAUUAUAUGAUGGCAUCGAUUAGUGCGUUAGAGUCAUGUUUUGGAAUGUUAUAGAGUGAUUGUUUACUUCGUGUUGGUUUUAGUUAGUCCGAUGGAUCGUAUAUUGCCAUUUAUUCCCAUUCUCAUUGCUACUUUGUUUUGGUGGAAAUGAGAACGAGUAUCAUGACUAUAGUAGGACGAGUACCCCUGAGUGUGCCCAAGUAUCCCAUCAGUAUAGGUUGCCGGGUUGAAAAGAUAAACUCGUUGUUAAGUACAGGCUUGGAUGAGGUUCGGAUGAUAGGAACACGGGGAACUGGGAGGUAUAGGGAAGACCACCAUCGCUAAAGCUGUCCAUAACAGUAUGGCUAGUCAGUUUGGUGGGUGCGGCUUUCUUGCAAAUGUUAGAGAAACUUCCAGUAAACCUGAUGGCCCAGUUCAUUUGCAAAAAAGCACUCUUAUCUGAGAUAUUUUGGAAAGAAAACUUAGCAGUCUUGAGUGUGGAUGGAGGUGUUGGUUUGAUAUGAGAUAGACUUUGCUGCAAGAAGAUUCUACUUGUGCUUGAAUGUGUGGACCAUGGGGACCAGUUAGAUGAUUAGAUACAGAGUGAAUGGUUUGGAAAAGGGAGAAGGAUCAUUGUUACGACAAGGGAUCACCAUGUACUAAAUUUUCAUGGGGCAGAUCAGGUACAUGAAAUUAAAACAUUGGAUCAAGGUGAAGCUUUUGAACUUCUGCGUCCAUUUGCUUUUCAAAGAAACUAGAUAAAAGACAUAAGCAGGGAUUUCAUAGAUAAUAUUUUGGGCUAAGCUAAUGGCCUUCACUUAGCAAUUGUGUUGUUGGGUCCCUUUUAUGUGGUAGAAGUAGAGGGGAAUGUGAGAGUACAUUAGGUAAACUUGCUGAAAGUCCUAAUAAAGAUAUAAACAAUGUUCUGAAGAAAAAGUUUGGUGCGAUGGAAAACAAUGAGGACAUAUUUUUUGACAUUACUUGCUUCUUUAAGAGGAGGGAUAGUCAUUAUGUAACCACAAUUCUUGAUGGUUGUGGUUUAAAGACAUUAAUUGGGAUUCAAAAUUUAAUAGAGAGAUCUUUUAAGAACAUCCAUAAUCAGAGAACAGCACAAAUGCAUGACUCAAUUCAGUUGAUGGGGUCAAGAUAGCGUGAAACAAGAGUGUUUAGAUGACCUUGGGAAAUGGAGUAGAUUAUGGUGCUGCAAUGAUGUUUUUGAAGUAUUUUUGGAGGAUAUUGUGAGAGCUUCUCCUGACACCAUUGAUAAUUUUGUCUUCUUUAAUUUACACGCCGUUACCUAAUUCGGGUAGUGUAGUAAUAAUUAUUUUCUUUUCCUUGAUAGGGAACCAAUGCUGUUAGAGGCAAAGUGCUGGACUUGCCAACACAAGUAGAGCUAGACAUCAAUCCGAGUGCUUUCACACAUAUGAGGAUACUGAGAUUGCUCCUAUUUCUAAAUGCACAGCUUAGCGGAGAUCCCGUAUAUCUUCCUAAAGAUUUAAGGUGGCUUGAAUGGCCUGAAUAUCUUUUAUCAACUCUAAAGUUUGGUACUAGUCUAAAGAAACUUGUUUGGUUUGAUGUGCAUAACAGCAGGAUUAAAGAAUUAGGAGAUAACUUAAAAGUACAUCAUACAUGCUUUUAUUGUCGGUUUCCAUUUUAGGUGCCUGUCAUAAAGUGAAAUUUAUCAAAAUCUUGUUCGGCUGUUCUUUUUAAUUUGCAGCAUUUUAAAAUUUGAAGUUCCUAAUUUUCAGCUGUUGUAAGUCUCUAAUUAGUGUUCCAGACUUCUCAAAGGUGCCAAAUUUGGAGGCAGUGAACUUAAGUGGGUGCUUGAACCUCAAGGUGCUUCCAAGCAAACCAAAGCUGAAAUAUCUUUAAAACUUGAUGUAACUAGCUGCUCUUGUUGGUAGGUCUGCCUUGAUAUCUAUCAUAAUCUUAUCUUGUUGGUAGGUCUGCAUUGAUAUCUAUCAUAAUCUUAUCUUGUUGGUAGGUCUGCAUUGAUAUCUAUUUGUCUUUUUUCCCCCUCAAAUAUAGUACGUUGUUUGUUUUUAUGUUGCUCUAGUAGCGACUUGUGGUCUUCACAGGUUUAGAAGUUCCAUGGUUGGAUCGUUGAAGUCAACUCUUGAAAACAGUAAUUAGCAGGAGACUCUAAUCAAGCCUAACAUAUUACGAGAGACAGCAGACCAAGGGGGGAGAGUUUGUGUUUGUAUUUGAAAAUAUGUGAAAUUCUUGUUAUGUGCCAUUUGAGAAGGUAACGCUAUUGGAGUUGUGAAUAUUUUUCCUUUCUGUAUACUACUAGAAAGAAUGAUGUGAACAUGACUUUGUUUUCUUAGUAAUGAGAGAUUAGAAAUGAGAAACUAAGUUUGAGAUGGAUGGCCUCAAUUGAAUGUCAGCUGAUCCCAUGUUUAUAAUGCAUCAAUUGUAGGUGCACAAAUGGACAAAUUCUCGCAUGCUAGAAUUGCUCGGAUGGAUGACCUACACAUCAGAGAUGGUGGGCAGCUUUGUUGAGUAAAUGGUACUCAGAGAGGACAUGAAUCCAAGAAGCUCACUCUCUCUACAAAGAAAUGGGUGAUGAUUCUAAGAAUCACAUACAGACAAAAGGCUUCUCUAGAAAACAGUCUAGAACAUUCUUGUACAAUCAAACUUUAGGAUUUUGCAAGUCUCAAUUGUUGAUCACGAACAAAAAUUAAGAAUCUCUCUCUUCACCUAUAAGAGAUUCCUUUACCUUCAACAUCACUCCUUUGUCCCGUGGAAAAUAGCUGAUCAAUAAUUUUUAAUUUUAAAAAGUUGUGUUGUGAUCCUCAAAAGAUUAAUAGUAUAAUAAGGUUGACAUUAUCCCAUGGUUUAGUCCUGUUAAAUAAAAAAAAUUCAUGAAUUAGUAUUAAGAAUAUAAACAUACCAUUUUUAUUUUUUUAAAUUCAAACGACUUCAUAAAUGCACAAGAUUAAAAUAUAGAAAAAGGAUACCUCAAAGAAUCUUAUGAAAUGUAUAAGAUCAGAAAUCUAUGUAAACGAAUAUGACAAUCAUAUAUGAGAAUUUCUUAAAUUGAACGAAGAUAAGCAUGAUUGGCUCAUGUUGAGUGUUGCGACAUUGAUUAUCAAGUCCAAUCCUCACAUAGGUACGAGUUGUCCUAGAUGAACAUACUUUGACCGUCAUUUACAAAGCACAAAUGUUGUAUAGAAUAUUCUCAAAUAGAAGAUUAAUUUAUGAACGAAAGGACCUUCCCCACAUUUAAAUAGUUUCUGCUUGAAAAGAAGAAGCUUUUGGUAGAUCAUGUAUGCUAGCCGACAGUGCACUUAAGUUACCCACUAGUGAGUCAUACAAAAACCAUUUUAAGAAUGAAGAUAAUUUUUAUAAUAAAAGGCAAAAACUGUAAGCGUCGAGACUCCAUUUUUAUUUCCUUUUUGGCUCCAUUAACUCCCGAAAACAUGAGAGUACCACCAAAUAAGAAGUCCAUUUUAUGAUAUGAAAUAGAGAAAAAGGAUAUCAAUAAAUUUACAAUUACCAUUUUCAACACUACAUCUUUGCUUUUCUUGCUUUUCUUUCGCUUAGUCUGUCGAGCCUUAAUCUUUUGCUUCUUUACUCUAUCAAUAUGACCUAUUUUUGAUUCCUUCCAUUUUGAUAUGGGACGCCCUUUAUGUCGAGUGAUAAGUUGAAAUGCAGAAUAUCGACCUAAUUUUUCAGGAACAUUUUUCAUGAUAUGCCCUAAGCACCAUUGAUGCUUAGGACCAGGGAACCGAUGAUCAACUGCACUUUGCAUUGCCUUGUCCUAGUCAGUGAUAGCAGCGAAUGGUGCUCGUCCUCCCAUCCGAAAGAGACAAUGAUUUGAACAACCAAACGAAUGUGUUAGUAUCCUCAUUCACACUCAUGAAAGGCGCGAAAGGCAUCUCAUACCAAUUGGUCAAAUAUAUCGUAUCACAGGUUACUACUUCAUCAAAACUUUCAUAUAAUGUCCAAGUUCUUGCACCUGCCAAGGAAACAUUCUUUAACCUGGGACUAUCAUCCAGCUCCAUUGCAUAGAAAAAAGGUCAUUUCUAUUUUGCAUCCUAACAAACAGUUAUGAUUGGCUUCACCAUCUUCUGUUCCAAGUCUUAACUUUCUUUGCCUUCACAAUAAAAUUUUGACGAUCUUUCUCACUGAAGGUAAGAUUUUUAUUCCCUCCUGCCUCGACAACAGACAAGUUAAAGUUUGUUGAUCCUUAUAUUAGCUGUAGAUGCAUAGACUUUUUCCAUGAAGAGAACAUGCAAGGGUUAAGUAUUUUACCUUAUCAUCAUCUGCGUUUUUCUAGCUCCUCCUAGAGACACCCAAUCCCACUUGUUUAUGCAUCUUUUAUCGUUCUCUAAUAGAUCCUCCGCAGAAUAAAAUAACUCUCAUUCCCUCGGUUUUAAUCACAUUUUCUUCGUCGAUUUGAUUUUAUUUUGUUUCAUCACCAGUAGCUUCUGUUUCACAUUCUUCUUUAUCAAAUAGUGUGUCAUCAUUCUACGCUUGUAAUGUUCACAUGAAAUCUUCUUGUGUUUGGUAAAAUUAUAGAAAGCAAAAAAUUCAGUAUGACAAUUAAUUAGAAAUAUAUUUAGACAGAAAAUCAUAAUCCGCGAUUUUUCCAAAUAAGAUAUGAUGCAAUAAAUGCAAUAGUAGUUUAUUCGUACAAUCCUAAACUGACUCCGUAGCUAAUCUAUUAUAACAACUUGUGCAUUCUGAAAAUAGAAGCAUAUGGCGCACGAACUAUAUGCAGAUCAAAGUCCUUUAACCACGUCUUCUAUUUAAUCAAAAUAUUUGGUGGAUGGAGGAGACAAAAGAGGUACGACCCAUCUCAGGCAAGCACAAAUUAUAGACAUAGAGAAACAUUAGUCAAAACGCAUAAGAUACAACACAAAAUGACGAAACCUAAUACAUAUUCAAUCAAAAGCAUGCUCCUGAAUCUUAAAAACCAGAAAAUUGUGUUCCAAAAAAUUCAAGAGUUAAAGAAUUUUUAUAUAUUAAAGCAAUCCAUGACGUCCAUGUGUAGCAAAUAAUUGGAUUGAUAUUUUCUAUUUCGUUGGAGAGUACAAGACGUUUCAAAUCAGAUAAUUGGAUAAUUUUCACCAUUAGAUAGAUAGAUAGAUACUCUGCAAAAAGUUGAUUUACAGGAAUUUAUAAAUGAAUUCCUCUGAAAUGUAAUUUUUUAUUUAGCUGAUGCUAUUUACGAAUUUCUUCCAUAUUUUUUAUGGCAUUGAAAUUUAUAUUUAAAUUAGUCUUUUCCAUUCAACAAGUUUUUGACAUCUUGAUAUCAAUUUUUCCGAAGCAUGGCCAACGUAUGUCCCUCAUAUGACUCUUAAAGAUCCAAUUAUAACAUGAACAUACAAUUAUCUCAUGUUCAAGUAUAUUUGGACGCAUGAAUCAUGAAAAAAAAAAUUCAAAAAAAGUCAACAGGUUCAAAAUAUUUGAACUAAAACUAAGGAUUAUGCCACGUAAAAUAAACUUUUGCGACCUCCUUGGACCCUCCCGCAGCUGUGGAGGCUAAUGACCUACUAAGUCUAGAUUUAAUUUGGGCUCUCUCAAGCUCAUCAAUUCGCGAUUUAUGGUCUAAAUUUUUAACAUGCAAAUCAUUUUCAUUUAUUAGUCGCUACUAAUCAGUUUGUGGUGGAUCAAUUAGAAACCAAAUAAAAUAUUAAGAUAAAUAUUUUACUUUUGCGCAACAAAAAAAAUUAGAAUUUGGGACUUGAUUGUACUAGUUAGUCAAUUAAUACUCUUUCGAAACCUAACCUUAUUUAAACCUUAGGUUUGAUUUUUUAUUUUAUUUUUUUGUGCAGGAUAUUUCAUGCAUUUUUAAGAGAAUAACCUUUUUUUUUUAUUUCCUAAUUUGAGAAUUUUUUCCGAAAUUCUUUUCAAAUUUUUUCUUUUUUAGAUUUUUUUUUUGAAAUAUAUGUUUUCAUAGUUUUUUAUUCCGAAAUUGGGACUCGGGCUUGGCCUUUGAGCCCAGUCCGAAUGUGGGCUGCCGCUGGUCUUCAGGUUGGGAGGCCUCACCCAUUAAGAGGCUUUUAAAAAACGAACUGGGCUCAAUCUUAUAGAUUUAAGCCCAACUCCAACAAACCGAGCUCGACCCAAAGCUAAUAUAAUGAGCCCAAGCCAGUUAGACGUGCGACCCGGGACCGACCCCGACCCAACCCAGGCCAACCCGACUAGUAGCCCCUCGCGUUCCCCUGCUCCCACGCAACGCCGACGCGGAUAGCCGUGGCGACGCCGCUCGUCUCGGCUUGGCCGCAUGGUUACUCCGCCAUCGCCUCGGCCAGCCAAAGCCGAGGGCUCGGCUUCCGCCUGGGUCCCCGUUUCGUGGCCGCGCUCGACGCCGCCGGGGGGGAGGUCUCGAAACGGCGAAACGGCCGACGCCCGCAAGCGCCAAACGUCACCGAGGCGUCUCGACCGGCCGAGAUGGUGUCCGGACAACUCGAUACCGUCCAAAAUAAGCAGGCAAGAACUAGGUCUAUCUCGGGCAUUCCGUCGAACGAGCACGCUGCUGAAACAUCGGGUUUUGGCUCCAUCGGGACUCAAACCAAAGGCUGAAGCUUUCGCCGAGCAAACAACAACACCACCACAGCAGCCAAAAGAGGGAGAGACGGGGCCGGAGUCCGCAUGAGCCGGGCGGCCGCGAGCUCCGGCCCGACGUACCCAAAACAGGGCAAAAACGGGGCUGGCUUACUGGAGCUCGUUUGAGGACGUCGGCGAGGAUCGGCGGGUGGCUUACGGGCGCGGUGGCCACCGGAGAAACUCCCCACUCUCGCCCUCAUCCUUCGCUUUCUCGAUCUCGAUCUCCCUCUCUCUCUCAUCCCUUGGGCCUCUCCUCUUAUAGGGCCAGACGUCCCGUGAGGGAAGGAAGAAGAGAAGGAGAGAAGGGAGAGAAAAGGGCCGGGGAGAAAAUGAGGAGAACUGGGCCCCGUCCCGGGCGGAGGAAAGAAAGGGGGCUGGGGUCAGGCCCUGCCCCCGAGUCCCGUCACGUCUUUCUAAUUUUUUAAAAUAAUAAUUUAAAAUUUUUAAAUUUUUAUCUGAAACAUAGAAAAAUAAAGGGAAAAUAAAAUAAAAAUAAAAUUUAGUUGAUGCAAAUAAUAUUAAUGACUAUGUGAUGUAAAAAUCUUUUCUUGUUAAGGCCAAAUUGAUCUCUAAUAUUCUACUCAAUUUAAUCAUAAAUAUUUAACCAAAUUUUAGGUGUCAACAAAAACUUGUUCAAUUUGUCAGCUAUUUAAUCAGCAAGUAGCCUUUGUCCCUUCAUGUUCUUAAGAUCCAUUUUUAGAAAGGAGCUAAACAAAAAUUGAUCUUCCCAUGUAAAAGCGUGCUUAAAAUGAUUAAAGGAAAAUACCAGUUUAUUGUGGUUUAUGAACACGUUGUUUCUAAGAAACAUUUUAAAAAGUCUUUAGAAUAUUCAUGAAAUGACCAAGUAAUAUAUGGUUAAGUGUAUUGAUGCUUGUUAUAAAAAAUAAUUCUUGACAAUGCAUAAUUUCAUCAAAGAAGGCCAGAAAAAUCUAUGGUCUCUAAUUCCUAUGCAGAAGAACACUCCGAACCUUCUGUUAGUUUUUCGUCUGUCUACCAAUGAGUUAUUCUGAAAUGGUGGAAGAUAGGGGUGAGCAGCGGUGGAGGUGGAAAAUUUAGAAAUUUUUUUGGCUGGACACGAUUGGUUUGUGCAAGAACUGACUCUAGAGGAAUGUGCCCAAUAUGAACUAGAGGACAACAAUGAGAUUGUAUCAUCUGAAUUAAGGUGGAGGACAAGACAUGAAGAUACCUAAUUUAUUAGACAUUCUCUUUGGUGUAAUUUGUGUGUAGUUGUUAUUAGGGCACCGUUACGCGUAACUUUCUUUUUUCAAAUUACUUGGAGAUAUACUUGUCUUUCAAUUUGGUUUAAUUAGAUGAGUGCUUUUCUAUAAAAAAAAAAUUUCUAAAUUAAUUUUUUAAAUUUGAGAAAAAUAGUUUAGUUUUUUUGAAUUUUUCAUUCGAAGAAUUCAAAUUAAUCUAGAAAAAGAAAUGGGCCCAGAUCAACCAAGCCGAGAACAGCCCUUUGGCCCCUCCUAGCCGGCACCGCAGAAGGACUAGCACUUUAUUCCACCAGGCCUUUCGCCGUAAGGUUUUUGCAGUUGACGUUGUCCAUGCUCCUUAGGACUCGUGGGGUAGGCAACUUUGUUGGGGAUAACUGCAGUAAUGAAUAUCACACAUGGGCGGCAUGGAAGCUAAAAUUUCAUCAAGAUCAAAAAUUUCAAGUGGCUUAAUUGUCUUGGCAAUCCAAGUGAUUCUUCGUUCUCUACCACUAGUGCACUUGCAACACAUGUCUCCUCGUAGGCUUUUGUUAAUCCAGACAAGGAUGUUAAAACAACUUCUUCCUUACCCAUCAUUAAUGGUGCAAUUGUAAUCUAUAUACCAUCCUUCUCGAAGGAGUAAGUGUAUCCGUGUCCAUCAUAAAUAGUUCAAUGUUAAUAUUGCCACGAUAGUCUAAGUAGCAUAUGGCACACAUCCAUUGAAAUCACAUUAUACCAUAGUUUGCCGUGAUAUUUAUUUACAAUAAAAAAUUGAAUUAAUGAAGUUAAAGACCUUUCCUUCAUUCUCCUCCCUUAACUAUUGUGAUCUGUCAGGGUGGGGAUGAUCUUUCAUCGGCAACUUCAACUUCUCGACCAUUAUAGCUGCUACAACAUUCUUGCAAUCUCCUCCAUCCAUAAUACAAUCACAAGCCUUGCCAUGUGAUUUGCACUUUGCAAGGAAAAUAUUGUGGUGCCCUAUGUUGGUCACCUCUCUCCGACUUGUCUUUCUCUUUCAAGCUAGCAUAGAUCACCUCCUUCACCAACAUACUCAUACACGCAUCUCUCUCUCUCUCUCUCUCUCUCUCUCUCUCUCUCUCUCUCCCCCUCGCAUGUGCAUACGAAUCACAAAUUAAAAAAAAAAAAAAAAAUUCACAAACUUAUUUAUAGAAAAAUAAUCUGUGAUUUGCAGGAAAAAAAAGUCAUUAAGUUUAAUUUUCUGAUUUUACAUCAAAAUCCACACAAUUUCACUGAUAAGAGCAAACUAUUGAACAUGAAUUUAGUGGGUCAACAUUUAGGAUCUUUAUCAUCUCACCAAAUAUUUGGAAUUGAUGGAAGAGAGAGUGAUGAUCAAGCUACUUGUGAUAUUGGACAGCUGCGUUUGAUUCGGCUUUUCCAAGUAGUUUUGGAGAAAGCAAUUUAGCCUAAAGGGCUUUGAAAAAAAAUGCAAAAACUGUUUAGUAAACUUCGCUUUGAGAAGUAAUUUUGAGACAACUGUUGUUUGGUAGAAAACACAUUUGAAAAGCCCAUGUGAAUGAUUAAUUUAAAAUUUAAAAUUUUUAUUUGUUUAAAAUUGAAAACAUUAAUGUUCGCAACUUUUUAAAUUUAAAUUUUGACAACAAUGUUGAAAAUAUAAUGUAAAAAUUUUUUUUAGAAAAAUAAAAUUUCUUUGUUUUGGCUCAAAAAAUUUCAAAUGGAAAAAUUUACAUCAAAAUGGUCUAUUUCUCAAUCAAAAAAAGAAUACUUUCAUUGCAAUAAACAUAUUAAAAUAUGCCCCUAGAAAAGAAAAUUAUUAUCCUUAAAAAUUACAAAUAUUCUUAAGUAUUUCAUAAGCUCAUGACUAUUUGAUCAUAUAUGUGCCAUAUCAGAAGAAGUUGCAUCACUAUUUGGAGCAUUACCCUCCUCAUUUACAUCAUCAACAAUUGUGCACCUUACUUUGACAAGUAAAUUCCAAUUCGGAUGAAAUAAUGAGGGAAUAAAAGAAAUUACGGGGAUUUGUAUCUGUCAAUUUUCAUUGAGUAGGCACAAAACCAAACUUCCCCAAUUUUUUGUUUGUAUCCAAGUUCAUGGCACCACUUUGCCACAAGAAACGAUCUAUGUAGCUGAAGCAAAAUAAAAAUGAAUUUGCAGAUGUCUCUCAAGUCAUCAUCUCAAAAGAUCCUCACCCAACUGAAAUAAUGGACAUGAACCAAAAUAAGCUUUCAUUAUGUGUUACCACAAGAAGAGCAAAAAUGCACGCUUGUUUUAAGUGACUUCUCAACAUAUUACAAUCAUUAACUAUGGACAACAACAAAUGAUAAAUUUAUCUUUGCAGUUGCCCUAAAAGAAAGGCAAACCUUUGCUUGCUGCUUCUUGUUAGCCUCAUAUCAUGGACAAACAAAAAGCCAUUCACAUUGAUGAAAGCGGAGUAGCUUGUGCAUCAAAUUCAAGAGCAUCUGUACCGUGCACUGCAAAGAGAUCAACUUGAAUCUCAAGCUCAUGAACAUAUUGUGCGGAAUAUGUCCAGAUGACAAUAGUUUAUCAUUGCUGGCAAUCAACUAGAGACUUCACUGGAGUUCCUCUUGCUCAAGCCUCAUAAAUCAUCACGGUUAGGCUGCCCACAAAGGCACAUCAAAGGAUUUGCACAUAAGUAAUCCUCCUCCUUGGGCUCAUCAACAAUAACUCUAUAACUCUAUGAUGACUUGGUUGUGACAUCUUCUCAUGUGCUAGAUGUACAGCAACUUCAAAAUUAUCAUAUGAAAGUGUCCCAUAUUGAUGCAAAUCCAGUAAAGCUACAAGCCUUUAAUGAUCUAAGAGAAGGGUUCUCUUAAAUCCAAAAUAUUUACAAAGAAUGUCACAAAUUGCACACAGCUUUUUGAAGGCAAAUGGUAUAGGCCUAAUUAAUUUGACUUGUUCUUCCAAGGGAAAUAAUGGAAGAACAUCAAUCAAGUUAACACACAAAUAAACAAUCUCAAAGGUCCUAAGAUAGGAUUGCAAUCAACAAUUAACCAAUUGGUUAACAUCCCCUUCUCACAUUCAAUCAGGACAAAUCCACUGCAAUCGACAAUUGACCAUAUGUGAUCUCUCAGUACAUACUCAAAACAGGACAAACAAAAAUCAAUUCUUUGUUGCAACCCAUAAAAAGACAUACAAGAAUCAUGUUGGUGACAGGAAAAAAAAAAUCAUCAUGAGCAGCACUAGUGGCGCUUCAGAAGAUUUCCAUUUCGUGCAUGCGAUUUUUUCAGGCUUCAAUGAGAUUGAUAUUCGGCAGGUUUGAUACCACUAGUUCGGCAUUUAACGCAUUGAUAUAAUAGUGUUCUAACGAACUCGUAGGCUGUCAACACGAAGCCAUAGCUGAAAUUCAACCAUUAUUUUAGAUUCGAUCGCCACACCAGCAUAAUAAUCAAACAUGUAGACAACACAAGUCGCAGACUGCGCAAACAAAGCCCCAAUUAAAAAGCAAUCGAACAUUAAAUACAUAGAGCACGAGACAUGAGCCAGCGAUCAACAGCCAAGCAUCUGGAAUUAACGAAACAAAUGACAACUGCGAAUUACCCACAACGCGUUGGAGGAGCAACAAUGGCGAGUCCGCCGGCAGAAAGUGCCUGGCCUGCCAUUGCUCCGUCAACUUGAACUAAUCGAAUUCUCUCCGGUUGCCUCGGUCAUCAACCUCUCCAACAAUCAUCACCACAUCAAUCACCGCGAUGAGAACCAUCAGGCAAAGGAGAGACGAAGAAGAAGCCAUUGAUGGAGAGAGACACUAUGAUUGAGUGAAGCGGGCGCAACUGAUUCACAUAAUGCACGGGGGUAGAUCUAGGGUGAGCAAAUUGAAAAGGGUGAGCAAAGCGGAGCGAACGAAGUGCAGGGUCGAGCGGGGAGGGAGCGGAGCGAAGAAGGCAGUGUUUGUGGAUCUAGGCUUUUAAUUCUUUCAAAAGGGGGCAAAUUUGGAUUUUUAGUUAGGUUUUAAGGACAAAAUAAGCAACUCACUAAUUUUCAUUAAAUCAGCCUUUCAGUAUUCCAAAAAUGCCGAAAAUCGAAACGAGUCUCCACUUGCCUUGAACUUUUAGCAUUUCCAAUGACACACUUUCACUUGAAAGCUCUUUGGGAUGUUGCCAAAUAACCCAAUAUUUUCUCAAGAGGUUUUGGAGAUUGAAAACCCUUCGAGAAGACUGAACUAAAUACACCCAACAUAUAUUCUAGAUAAUCUACUAUAAAUGAUUUAUCAUCUUUUAAAUAACAACUCUCAGUUCCCCACCAUGUAAAGAAUCGCAAAAGUGACUUUGAUUAUUCUCCCUUUCAACAUUUCCUUUACAAAUUUCCAGCUGCAAACCCAUAAAGAUCACAACAUUGAAAUAAACCUUCCUCGAGGUUUUGAAUCAUUACACACUUGUUUUUUUCUCUUUGGACAAAACCCCCUUUCUCUCAGUUUCCCAUGUCUUUGGCGACUUGUAGAGUAGGCCGAAUUCUCCUUUCAUGACCAUUGUAGAUGGUAACGAUGCCCCUUGAAUGAUUAUUCGAAAAAAUAAUAGGCCGGCUUCUUCUUUCAUGACCCUNNNNNNNNNNNNNNNNNNNNNNNNNNNNNNNNNNNNNNNNNNNNNNNNNNNNNNNNNNNNNNNNNNNNNNNNNNNNNNNNNNNNNNNNNNNNNNNNNNNNAGCUACAUUAGGUUGGUUGUUUGCCGGGCCUCAAUCGAAGGCAAUAAUAAUUACGUAUGGAUUUUGCAUUAUCUUUCCUUUGUUGGUUCUUUUCUUCUUCUUGGGAGCACUUCAUUUCUUCUUAGGCAUGCUUAACAAAUGUCCUCCUUGACAUGUCUUAGUUUAAUAUAGUGUCCUGUGACAACUUUGCAUUUCUUUCCACAUUGGCACCAUCACGGCCUAUAUGGAGCGGCAAUAUGAAAUUGUAUCCUAAAAUUUAUGCUCGUGUCCUUUUGCAUGUAAAUCUUCAUGAUCUAUUAUUCUUAGACCGAAUUGUUGUUGCUCGCUUCAUUUAAUUUGACAGCUUGGGCACCUUAUAUUAUCCAUGUCUUUGUCGUCUAUCAUGUUAGAAUGUCGGAGGCCAAGAUAAUUGAAGACAUCGUCAAAAAGAUCUCUGAACUGAAAAUGUACGAUGUGCUUCUGAGCUUCAGAGGUAAGGAUGUCCGUGAGUACUUUGUUAAGGGUCUAAACGAGGCCUUGGCGCAAAAGGGCAUAAAGACUUUCAUGGACAGCGAGAACUUACUGAUGGGCCAGGAUUUCCCAUCGAAACUGAAGGAAGCCAUUGAACAAUCUCGCAUGUACGUUGUCGUUUUCUCAGAAAACUACGCUGAAUCUUGGUGGUGUCUGAAGGAGUUGGUGCAGAUCCAAGGGGAGAAGAACAGAACAAAACAGCUGCUGCCGAUAUUUUAUAAGGUGGCACCGGGGGAAGUAAGGGGACAGAAUCCACGGGAAGUGACUGGAAAGAAACAGAGUUAUGAGAAAGCAUUGACCGACCAUGAAAGCGAAUUUGGGAAGCGCAAGGUUAAAAAAUGGAAGGAGGCUCUCUCUAAAGCUGCCAAUGUGAAUGGAAUACAUCUGCAUGAUGGGUAAGAUUUCGAACACAUUCACCUUUCUCCUUUUAGAAAUAAUUUCUACUGUUGGGUAGAGGAAGUGUUGAGACUUGGGUAGCUAAAUGCAUGAUGAAGGGUCCCAACAAUAGACCGAGCCAACCAACCCUAUGACAUCGAUUUAUGCCUUGUUUUUGUCGAGUAUAAGUGAAGGGCCACUGUGUUGACGUAUCAUUCUAUUAUGAUUGCUGACAUAUGCUUCGAGUGGGAAAGAGAACUUGAAAUUUGAAAGUUGAGUUGAGUCCAAUGCAUCCCAUAAGAAGUUUUCCGCAAUUCCAUGCAUUAAAUAUGUCGAUCAAAUCAAAUGAUCCAUAUUCAUCAGCAUCAAUAUGUCCAUUAUCCAGCAAUUGCAAAGUUAUACAGUCAAGUCCUCAAAAUAAAUUGAAGGGCAUGUAUCAAAGCUUGGAUUUCGUUGAUUUGCUCAAUAGGAGCAUAUGCUUUUCUCAUUCUCCAAUUUGAAGUGGCCAAUAUAUAUAUUUUAGUAAUUCAAUAAAUUUUAUUGUUACAUAAGCCAAUAUUAACUAGAAAAGACUCAACCUAAUCAGAAACACUCUUGGCCCGUGAAUGUGCUUCUUGUGAAUGUGGGAUUCUGAUGUUCACUACAUGCUAGUUGAUGGCUAUAUUUCAUAAUAUUCAUAUUUUUCUCGCUUUUUUGUUUUGACAGGAACAUGCAUGGUUGCAUCCCUAGGAUUGUUAAAGAGAUAGAGAAGAUGAUGCAAAGGAUCGAAUGACAGCUAGGAUGAAAAGGCUCAAAAUGUCAGUUCCAUCAAAUAGAAUAUAAUUUCAUUACACUGGAGAUUGUUGUAUGAUAUUACUCUUAAAUGUCACCAAUAAAAAUGGUUGCUUUUCCUCUUUCCUCUCUAGGGUUUCUCCUCUUCAUCUUAUCUUCACGCAGCUUUCUUCUUCAACCUCCAUGGAGGGGAGGGUUUAAGCUAGCGUCCCCUCCCAUUUUUCCUUUCUCUUUGGCUGAUUUUGUUCUCUAUUAUAUUUUUCUUGCUUUCCUCUCAUUUUGCAGAGCUUUCCUUUUCUGAUUUAGUUUAGAUUUGGAAGCUCCUCUCUCCCAUUUCAGGAAGGUUUCUAUCUCUAUCCAAUCUAGAUUUGGGGAUUUUUGCAUGUAUGAUUUCAGGACUUCACUUUCCUUAGGUUUCGUUGGUGUACAAGUCCAACUCAAAGGAAAUUGGAGGAGCUUCAUUUCGAUCUCACAUGUGUCAUAUCUAUGCUUGACGAUGGUGUUGAGGAUGCUGAACCUAGGUAUGCACUGUCAAAAGAUUUGCUGAACCUAGGUAUGCACUGUCAAAAGAUUUGAUUGAGCAAAACUUACUAUUUCAUAAUUCUGAAGUAUGAAGUAUUGGCAAUAAAUUGGAUUAAGAGCAAUGACCAAGGUCUAUUUGAUAAAUUCUAUAGAACAACUUGGAAAACCACGGCCAUUCAACAAGCACUUUGGAUUAAUGCAAUUUGCAUCACAAUCCAUAAAGAAAGAGGGAAAAAUAGUUCCUCAACCAGUGUCAAUACUAGUAAGCAUGAUGCGAAAUCUAUAUUUCAUAGUGAUUUUAAUUUAAAUCAAAGGAGCAUACAUUCAAAAUUUUCUAGUAGAGAUUAAUAAAGGGAAAAGUAAAAGGCAUUGGAAUCAAAAUCAUCCAAUUUGCUUCCCCUAGAAUCACUUCCUCAACAAGUCGUCACCAAUCCAAACAAGCAUGUUUCGCAAGCCAACACGCAAAUAACAGUUGGUGCAAGUGGAACCCAUGGUCUCGGCAUAGUUAAGACCAUCUUUCUUCUUUGUUAAAUUGUUCAGCUUUCCUCUACAUCUACUUCUCUUGGAAUAUCUUCUUCCUCGGUGUCUAUUGUUUUCGUUUAAGUCUCUUUCCUUGAGAAUCCAAUUAUUUUCUAUCGGGUGAUAGUGUUGGAGCACGACCUUAGAACAUCCUCCUGUUGCUAGCAUUUUAGAUGAAAUCAACACUUCUUUAAGCUUACUUUUGAUGCUCUGAGGCGAACUUGGAAAUGGCUCCAAUCGUUUCACAUAUGCUUCUCAACUUCAGACAAACUACCACGCAGGAGAUAUUCAUGCCACACCUGAUUGGAUUCCAACGAAAUCAGGCUACUCACAUGCCAAAUCACCUUUGGUCACAUAUUAAAUAUAUGGACGUCACACCAAAGCAUCGGCCACAUAUUAAAUAUAUGUACCAUUAGUUCUUUUAACUUUUUUUAUAGCCAAUUGAGAUCUUAAACAAUCCAAUUUUAUUUUAACGAUGCUAGAGUUACUAGAAUUUGAUAUCUUGUGAUAUGCUAACGAGGUGACAGUUUUUUUUUUUUUUUUUGAAAAAAUGAGGUGAUGGUUGACGUGGCAGAUUACGUGGGCAUUUGAUACAACGCCUAGUAUCGCGAGCAAGGAAUAUAAAAAGAAAAGCAUAUCAGAAUGGUUGAAGAUCAUGAAAGCGAUGGCUUUAAAGAAACUCGAUUGAUCUCUGGUGCAUCGCGACUCUCCUUUGCUGCCGAGUUACUCGAGCAAAGGCCAUGGCACAAUUACAAAGUGAUAAUGCAAUACCGCAGUGGAAAUUACGAUUGGUGAGGCAGAGAGAGAGGGUGAUAGAGUCCCCUUGGACUGCUUUGUUCAGUCCCAGAUUCCACGAGCGAAGAUUGGAAGAUCAUUAUCUGUGAAGAUAAAUAAUGGCUUAGCCGUGGACUGAGCGUUUAGAGCUUCGAAAGCCAUUGACAACUACGUGAACAAGAUCAUCUCCUACCGCCAGUGCGUGUCCCUUCUCACUUUCGUCUGAAGAAACCCCCCUGGGUGACGUCCACCUGAUGUUUGUGAUUUUGCCUCCCUGAAUCCAGCUUUAAACCACCCGAGAAAAACCAAACUCAUUGUUUUUAAAUCAAGGAUUCAAAUGUUUUGACUACCAGUUUUGUGAAAAUUAGUGCUAUUAUUUGUUUUUUAAAAUACGUAGCAGCUUGUUCCAAAGCAAAGUGACAUUCAAUCUAUUGUAAAAACUUUUGGAAGGAAUGCAGCUGUCCCUCGGUGUAAUGCUGGAAUUAAACCGGCGUAACGUAGUCAUGUCUUGUAGACUAGUCCUCGAUGAGAAUUGUUCUUAUGGUGCUUGGGAGGCAGAGUCUAUUAUAAUUUCAUCUUGUUGGUAGGUAUGCAUUGAUAUCUAUUUGUUUUUUUUUUAUUCAAAUAUAUUAUGUUGUUCGUUUUUAUGUUGUUCUAGUAACGACUUGUGUUUUUCAUAGAUUAAGUUCCAUGGUUGGAUCGUUGAAGUCGACUCUUGAAAACAGUACUUAGUAGAAGACUCUAAUCGAGCCUAACAUAUCACAAGAGAGACAGCAGAUAAGAGGGGGAGAGUUUGUGUUUAUAUUUGAAAAUUUGUGAAAUUCUUUUUAUGUGCCAUUUGAGAAGGUAACACUAUUGGAGCAGUGAUUAUUUUUCCUUUCUAUGUACUGCUAGAAAGAAUGAUGUGGACAUGAAUUUGUUUUCUUAUGAAUGAGAAAUUAGAAAUGAGAGACUAAGUUUGAUAUGGAUGGCCUCAAUUGAAUGUCAGCUGAUCCCACGUUUAUAAUCCAUCAAUUGUGGGUGCACACAUGGAAAAAUUCUUGAAUGCUAGAAUUGCUCGGAGAGAUGGCCUACACAUUAGAGAUGGUGCGUAGCUUUGUUGAGUAAAUGAUAUUGAAAGAGAACGUGAAUCCAAGAAGCUCACUCUUUCCGAAGAAAUGGGUGAUGAUGCUAAAUAACAUAUACAUAUAAAAGGCUUCUUUAUAAAGUAGUCUACAAUAUUCUUAUAAAAUAAAAGUUUAGGAUUUCGCAGGUCUAAACUGUUGAUCACAAACUCUUCACCAAAAAAAAAAAAAAAAAAAAAACUGUUGAUCAUAAACUUUUGGCCAUUUCCCCUUUCCUCAAGUACUGUUCACCACUGUUCUCUCUAGCUUGGGAGCACGAUUUCCUGUUCCGCUGGUCGGGCUUUGGCUGGUUACAGGAGUUUCUGUUGUUCGUUGGUGUUGAUUUUUGGAGGCUGGACACGUCCUGCCCCCCUCUUCAUCUCCACCAAGGUGAUUCACAUGGUACACCUUCUACAAGUGACAAGAUCAUAUUAGGUUUUUGUGGGUAUUAUCUGUCUGCUGGUUUGGUUGCGCUGCACACCCAUCUGGGCUAUGGAUACAUCUGCGAAAAUCUUGGUACCUUCAGCACAUGAUGCGAGCAUAGUUCUGAAGCCCAAUGCAGGUUCCCUGCCCCUACCUAUGAAUCCCAAUUUUGGGAAAAUUUUAACUGAACAAGGGUCCCCGACUCUUGCUGUGCGUACGAGUAGACAAGGCCAAAGUAGAGGGAAGGAUGUCUCAUUGCCUACUGCAAUGGACAACCCCUUGGCCUCAGCUGCUCCUUUGCACCCCCCCCCCACACAUAUAUCUCAGCUGCUUCAUUGCAUCCCACCACGAUCCCUGCAAGUGAGAAUGCGAUUUCCUCUAUUCUGGCCGAGGGAGCUGCUGCGAAUGAAGGCCAGACAAGCACAAACAAGGUCCAUCAAGCAGCUGGCAUUAAACGAGAUCGAAGCUGAAACAGGUUCUCCACUAACCUUCCCAGCCCCAUGUUUAGCAAUCUAGGGGUUCAAAACCCCCCACCCAAUCAUUCUUGGGUUAAUGUUGCCAAGUCUGCAAUAAAAGGGUAUGACCUUGCCUUUGUGCCCCAACUAUUAUUGACAACAAACCUAUUGUGAACUUAUUUGAUGAAAUUUUAGAAGCGACUGACCCGAAAUGCAAUGAAUGCGUUGUCGGUUACUAUGUGGGGAAGCGGCUUCCUUUCAAGCUCAUCGAAGUAGCCUUAAAACAUGCUUGGGGACCUCAACUUGCUGAAGUAUUGGCAAAUGAUGAAGGAUUCUACUUCUUUCAUGUUCCUGACCGUGAAUUCUACAGGAAAAUCCUUGAUGAGGGGCUAUUAACAGUAGCCAGGGUCCCUCUUAUCCUGCAACAAUGGCAUCCUCUUUUGGAGCUGAAGAAGGAGCACCAGUCCUCUGUCUCGGUCUAGGUCAAAUUGAAGAACAUUCCCUACGCUUUCUGGUGUGCUCCAGGGAUUAGUGCUGUGGCAAGCGCGAUUGGAAAAUAGCUGUAUGUUGAUCUUCAGAUGAAGCAAAUGAAGAUGAUUUGUUUUGCCAAAGUGUGUGUGGAGAUAACUACUAAGCAAUCUCGAUGUGACUCGGUGGAUGUCAUCUUAAAUGGGGAAACUCGCACCAUUGCUAUAGAAUAUGAGUGGAGGCUGGUUUCCUACCAAAACUGUGGCACUUUUGGCCACAAAUGUGCUGCUUAAGCAAAUCCAUCUGGCCCCAUUGAGGCCCCUCAGCAUGCACCAGCCCGUGCAGUCACUACUAUCUAAGGCCCUAUACUUGCCUCUGCAUAGAAACGACCCUUAUUCCAGGUGCUCUGGAGGAAGGAUGGAAAUAGGUCCAACCAAAAAAGAAAAAGCAAUCUUUGAUGCCAAAGGAAGCAUAUCCAAUUCAAUAUGUGAAGCUAAGUGAAGCAGUUCCAAAUCAAUCUGUGAAGCCAAAUGACACCACACCGGUUAUUGCAACGCAACCUCUUGCAUCCCGAACGGCCCAGAAGGAACAAAAAAUGCUGCCAAAGUACAGUGAUGUCUUGGUACCUUCAUCUUCUGCCAUUAAAGCUCGUCAUGUGGGAACUACCACCCCAGUCCCAUCAUCUAGCUCGGAGGAAGAAUCGAAGGAUGCUGCAAGCAAUGUGGUAGCUCGAACAAGGAUGACCACAUCUCGAAUAGCUCUUUUGCUCCACAAGAUUUAAUUCCACAGGAAGUUAAUCUUGCUGUUCUAAAGCUUGCUUUCCAGCAGGAUAAGACCUUGCAGGCUCCCUGUCCAAAUCCAACUCCUUCUGCUCAAACUAAGUAGGUGGCCAAUCGAUGGGGGUAUGGACAAGCGGCACUAACCCUCUUGUCCAUCUUUGUAUAUAUAUAAAUAUACAUAUAGGAGUAUGGAACAUUAUGGGUCUUGUGGAUCCCAUUAAACAAGCUGAAGUUAGAAACCUUGUUAGCACUAAUAGUCUUUGUUGUGUUGGUUUACUAGAAAUAAAAAUCCCAGCGUCCCUCUUCCCUUCCAUCGCGGCAGGACUUUUAACAGGCUGGAACUGGUGUUCUAAUUAUGAAUACUCCCCUAGAGGGAUAAUUUGGGUAGGGUGGAAUCCAUCCCUUGUGAAUUUUACUAUGUCUUCUUCCCAUGCUCAAGCAAUCCAUGGCAAGCUUAAGCUCCUAAGUACAGGUUAUGAAUUCUGCCUCUCUAUUAUCCAUGAGGAGCACACCUUUAUAUCUCGUCGACCAUUAUGGGCAGAGCUUAUUCAUACUAGUGCUAGCCUAAUGGAUUCCUUGGUUAGUGGCAAGGGAUUUCAAUGCUAUUCGGGACUCUUAUGACCGUAUAGGUAGUUCGGAUACAUGGCUCCCUUCCUAUGAUGAGUUUGGGCAAUACAUAACCCAAGCAGAACUAGAAGACCUAAGAUAUCACUUGGUCUUCUUCAUCGAGCGCUAACCGGAAGCUAAAAAAGAUUGAUAAAGUGCUUGUAAAUACGAAAUGGUGCCAUGACUUAUCAUUCUUGGAAGCCUCCUUCCUUGCCCUGGGCAUCUUCAAUCAUACUCUCAUAGUCGUCAUAGUCAUCGUCCCUUCUAUCUAUAGAAAACCCUUAAAGUUCUUUAACCUUUGGAUGAAGCACUUGGCCUUUCACACAAUUGUUGCUCAAGUGUGGGAAAACCCGGGGGUGGGAACACCCAUGUUCAGGCUGUGUUGUAAACUAAGAACCCUUAAAGGCCGCCUCAAGCAGCUCAACAUGAAUUCUUUCUCCACUAUCUCUACUAGAACAACAAAUGCAAGGAAUGCCCUCCGGAUCACCUAGGACGCCCUCUAGCAAGACCCGAACAACUUGUUGCUUGCAGAACUAGAAAGGAAUCAUCUUCGGACCUUCUUUGAUCUGUAACUACAGGAUGAAUCCUUUUACGGAUAUAAAUCUAGGGUCUAGUGGAUUAAGGAAGGUGAUCAAAACACCAAAUUCUUUUACCAUUUUGUCAACAAAAGACAUUUGAGAAACAUAAUUAUCUUGGUUUUGAACACUUCUAGUAAUCUAGUGACAAAUCCUGGUAUGGUGUAGCAAUUAUUCAUACCACUUUCAGGACCUCCUGGCGCCUAUAGAUCUUCCUUCUCGGCCAGCCUUGCAAGAGAUUCAAGCGGUACCACAACACUCCCUGAAUGCGGAACAAGUACAAACCCUCUCUUGUCUUGUGAUUGAGCAGGAAAUUCAUGAUACCCUAUUCUCUCUAGUUGUUCGCAAGGCUUCAAGACCAAACAGGUUUAAUGUUGAGUUUUUCAAAAGCAACUGGGAUGUCAUAGGAUCGUCAGUCAUAGUAGCGGUCAAGGAUUUUUUUAUCUCCAAGAAAUUGUUGCGUGAGAUAAACAACACAAUUAUAACCUUAGUGCCUAAAAUCCCUAAUGCGUUUGCAGUUUCUGAUUAUAGUCCCAUUGCUUGCUACAACACAAUCUACAAGUGCAUCACCAAGAUUCUAGCUAAUAGAUUGGCGACUGUCCUUCAAACCAUCAUUAGUACACCUCAAAAUGCUUUUGUUAAAGGUCGUCGAAUUAGUGACAACAUCUUGCUGGCCCAAGAAAUUUUCAAUGGCUUCCACCAUGACUCAUAUUCGCCAAAAUGUGCUAUCAAAGCAGAUUUUCAGAAAACUUACGAUACUAUUGAUUGUGAUUUCUUGGAACUAACUCUCCAUGCUUUUGGCUUUCCCAAUCAAUUGGUUGGGCUUAUUAUGAUCUGUGUCUGUACCCCUAAGUUCUCCAUAUCCAUUCAUGGGGAGCUUCAAGGAUUCUUCUCCAAUGGCUGUGGAUUAAGCCAAGGGGACCCCAUGUCUCCUUACCUCUUCACCUUGGCUAUGGAGGUAUUCUCGAGGAUCCUACACCUUCAAUCCAGACAACCGGGAUUCAAGUACUUCUGGAGAUGCAAAUCAACUUGCUUAUCCCAUUUAUUCUUCGUAGACGAUAUUUUCCUAUUCAGUGAAGUAAAUAUGACCUUUGUAUCUCUCCUCAAGGACAGCUUAGAAACCUUCUCUUCUUGGAGUGGAUUGAGACCCAAUAUGAACAAGAGUGAAGUUUUCCUUACAGGUGGAACGGAUAUAUUUCAAACCCAAAUUCUUCAUGCCCUCGGAUUCCAAGAAGGCAACAUGCCAGUCCGUUGCCUGGGGGUCCCCAUCUUCACUUUGCGGCUUGGUAGGUCAAACUAUAAUUCCCUUGUCAACCUCAUAACAGCAAGAGCGCAAUCAUGGGCACAUCGUUUUCUCUUGUUCGUGGGCCGCCUACAAUUUAUUAGGUCAGUCCUCCAUUCAAUACAAGUCUAUUGGGAUAGUAUUUUCAUGUUACCUAGAGUUAUGCUGGACCGAAUUGAACAAAUAUUUAGACAAUUUCUCUAGAACGGCCCAGGCCUUGGGAGUGGGGGUGCGAAAGUAGCAUGAGAAGAUGUUUGCCUCCCAAAAAAGAAGAAGGAGGGCUUGAUAUACGUAAACUUCGCAAUUGCAAUACGAUGGCUAUGCUUAAACUUCGUGAUUGGUAGGUCAAAUUGUAAUUCCCUUGUCAACCUCAUAAUAGCAAGAGCGCAAUUGUGGGCACAUCGUUUUCUCUUGUUCACAGGCUGACUAUAGCUUAUUAGGUCAGUCCUCCAUUCAAUACAAGUCUAUUGGGCUAGUAUUUUCAUGUUACCUAGAGCUGUGCUAGACCGAAUUGAACAAAUACUUAGACAAUUUCUCUGGAAAGGCCCGGGCCUUGGGAGUGGGAGUGCAAAAGUAGCGUGGGAAGAUGUUUGCCUCCCAAAAAAAGAAGGAGGGCUUGGUAUACAUCAACUUCGCAAUUACAAUAUGGUGGCUAUGCUUAAACAUAUCUGGAUCCUUUUCACGAACAAAGAAUCCCUAUGGUGUAAAUGGAUUCAUUCUACUUACUUAAGCCAACUUUUUGCUCCUGGGCUUAGAGAAAGUUACUUGAUCUCAGGAGGGAUUUCCAGCAGUCCUUUAAAUGGCGUGUGGGCGAUGGCCUCUUGGUGUCUCUAUGGUUUGACCCUUGGCACCCUCGAGGACCCCUGAAUAUGUUCUUCACGGACACCUACACCUAUCCCUCGGGUUUAUCCAGGCAAGCUACAGUUGCGGAUUUAUUCUCCACACCAAGUCAAGCUACCAAGGCCAUCGUGGAAUCUUGGACGCAUCCCCUCCCAAUACUCUCAUAGAACCUUGACCAGUUAAUUUGGCUAGAGCACUCCUCAGGUUCUUUCUUGAUUGCAUUAGCUUGGGAAGCCAUUCAACAGAAGAGAAGCUUGCUCCCUUGGUUCUCAUUUGUCUAGAACAGAACACUCACCCCCAUAGUACCAAUUCCACCUCUGGCUUAUCACCAGGAACUAGCUACCUACCCAGAUUCUAUUACUCUCUUUUUGUAGGAUUGCUUAUGUUUAUUGUGCUUUUUGCAAUUCAAGACUAGACUCAAUUGAUCAUCUCUUUUUUGGAUGUUGUAUUACUGCUGGCCUUGUUAUGUUUUAGGCUGCAAGAUGCAACCUUCCAUGGCAAAACAAGUCGUGGAUGGAAAACUUACAUUGGGUCAUCAAAUUUCUUUCAAGCAAUAACUUCUUUCAAUGUAUUGCUCGGUUUUCUUUUGGAGCCCUAUGUCACUUAAUUUGGAAGACGAGGAACAACAUCCUAUUCUGGAGCCAAGCCUGUUCGUGCCUACAUUAAAAAACAAAAAAACAUCUCGUCAAAGUCAUCAAGGACAAAGCCCUGACCUUCAGCCAUGUUGUGGACAUGCUAAGGAACAGGAGGAUUCAACGAAGUUGGGGACUUGAUCCCUCUAUUUUCUCUUUUGAGGUGUCUGAAUUUUCCUUAUAAAUUCUGCUCUGAGGGUUGCCACUGUUGGUUUCCCCCUUUUUUUUCUUUUAAAUCUCGACACCCUUCCACUCUUAAUGACAUGUUUGUCACCAUCAAUGCAAGUUUUGUUGGUGCCAAGACUGCCCUACUGUAAAGCUCUUUUGGUUAAAAGUCAAUACAAAUCUUACCUUACCAAAAAAAAAAAAAAAAACUGUUUAUCAUAAACAAAAUUUAAGAAUCUCUCUCCCAACUAUAAGAGAUUCUUCUUCCUUCAACAUCACUCCUUUGUGCCGUAGAAAAUAGCUAAAUACACAAAUCACCAUGUGUGAUGAAUGUCCAUCAGGUGAAUGUAUUGAUCAAUAAUUUUUAAUUUAAAAUUAAGAAUUGUAUUAAGAAUAUCAAUAUACCAUUGCAUGAAAUAUCAAACGAGCUCUUCUUUUUCCACAGUUUAAUCUUAUGUUAGAAUCCCCGUUCCUCACCAACCCACAACCAAAAAGUGUGAAUUGACCAUGAGGUGUGAAAGGCAUCUCAUAUUGAUUGUUCAAAUGUGUAGUAACAAAGGUUACUGCUUCAUCAAAAUUUUCAUAUAAUACCAGACUUUCUGCAUCUGCCUAGGAAACAUUCUUUAACCUGGAACUAUCUUCCAAUUCCAUCACAUAGAAGAAAAAACGGUCAUUUCUCUUUGCAUCCUAACAAAACAGUUAUGACUGGUUUCACCUCUCGAGUUCUAAGUCUUCAACUUUCUUGCCUUUUCAAUAAAAUUUUGAAAUCUUUCUCACCAAAGGUAAGUUUUUCAUUCCCUCCUGCCUCAACAACAGACAAGUUAAAGUCCUUGUUGAUCCUUAUACUGCUCUAUCUACAUACACUCUUUCAAUGAAGAGAAUAUGCAAGAGUUCAGUAUUCUACCUUACCAUCAUCUCCAAUUUUCUAGCUCCUUCUUGAGACACCCAAUCCCACUUGUUUAGCAUAUCUUUUAUCAUUCUCUUAAGGGAUCCUCUACAAAAUCAAAUACCAUUCCUUCCCUCCGUUUUCUAUCACAUUUUUCUUCUUUAAUUUGAUUUCAAUUUGCUUCAUCACCAAUAGCUUCUGUCUCACAUUCUUCAUCAUCAGAUAGUGGGUCAAUGUCCUGCACUUGUGAGGUUGAUGUGCAUUUUUCUUGCGUUUGCUGAAACUAUAGAAAGCAAAAAUUUUAGUAUGACAAUCAAUUAGAAACAUAGGUACACAAAAGAUCGUAAUUUGAGAUUUUUUUUUUAUAAGAUAUGACGCAAUGAUAGCUUAUUCAUAUAAUCGUAAACUGACACAAUAGCUAAUUUAUUAAUAACAACUUGUGCAAUGUUUUCCUGAAAAUAGGAGCAUAUGGCGCACAAACUAUAUGCAGAUCAAAGUCCUUUAACCAUGUCUUCUAUUUAAUAAAAAUAUUACGAUUGGUGGACGGAGGAGAAAAAAUAGGUAGGACUCAUCUCAGGCAAGCACAAAUUAUAAACAUAGAGCAACAAUAUUUAAAACGCAUAAAACCCAACGCAAAAAUGACAAAACCUAACACGUAUUUCUCCUAAAUCUUAAAAAUCAAAUAAUCGUGGGGCAAAAAAGUCAACAGUUAAAGACUUUAUAUAUACAAGCAAUCCAUUUCGUCCAUGGGUGCCAGAUAAUUGGUUUGGUUUUUCUAUUUAGUUUGAGAGUUAAAAGACUUUACAAAUCAGAUAAUUGGAUGAUUUUCACCAUUAGAUAGAUAGAUGCUCUGCAAUAAAUGUCAAUUUAUAGGACUUUAUAUAUGAAUUUCUCUGUAUUGUAAUUUUUUUUGGCCGUCACUAUCUAAGGAUUUCUUCCCUAUUUGUUAUGGCAUUUGUUAUGGCAUUGAGAUUUAGAUUCUCAACGUAUUCUUUUCUAUACUAAAAGUUUUUGACCUCUUGAUAUCAGUUUUCUCCAUGCAUGGCCAUAUCCCUUAUAUGAUUCUCAAAGAUCCGAUUAUCACAUGAACACAAAAUUGUCUCAUGUUCAUGUAUAUUUGACACAUGAAUAGUGAAAAAAUUCCAAAAAAGAAAGAAAGAAAGAAAGAAAGAAAGAAAGAAAAGUCGAUAGGUUCAAUAUGCUCGAACAAAAACUAAGAAUGAUGCCAGUAAAAACUUGUUCAAACUUCUUCUAUACAUUUUUAGAAAGGGAAAAAAAAACAUGAUCUUCCCAUGUAAAAGCGUGUUUAAAAUGAUUAAAAGAAAAUACAGUGUAUUGUGGUUUUAUAAACACAUUGUGUUUGGAAACAUUUUGAAAAGUUUUGUAGAAUAUUCAUGAAAUGAUUGAGUAACAUGUGGUUAAGUAUAUUGACGCUUGUUAUAAAAAUAUAUAUACAUAUGAUGAAGCACGUUUUCAUCAAAUAAGGUCAGAAAUUCAUAUGGUCUCUAAUUCAUAAGAAGAAGAAGAUACCCCAGAACCAUCCAUUGGUCAUCUUUGUCUACUACUGAAUUGGAGAGUACUUGAGAAUAGAUUACUCCGAACAUUGAUAAAGUUGGCAAAGAUAACAUCGACAUUUUGAAAUGAUGGAAGAGGGAAGCCAUCGGUUUUUCAAUUCUUUUUACCAUGGCUUGUGACUCACUAUCUCCACUAGCAUUUAUGAGCCCAUGUCUAAUACUAGCCAACAGAUCAUAGAAGACAAAAGGUGUAGGCAGAAAAUUUAGAAAUGGUUUUUGCUAGACAUGAUUGGUUUGUGCAAGAAUUGACUCUAAAGGAACGUACCCUAUAUGAACAAGAGGACAACAAUGAUAUUGUAUCAUCCGAAUUAUAAUGAAGAACAUGACACCAAAGAUACUGAAUUUAUUAGACAUUCUCUUUGGUAUAAUUUGUGUGUAUUUUUUUAUUAGGGCAUCAUUAUGUGUAAUUUUCUUUUUCAAGUUACUCAAGGAUACACUUGUAUUUCAAUUAGGUUUAAUUAAUGAGCGGUUUUUUUUAUUACCAUUAAUAAUAAUAGAUAAAACUUCUAUUUAUUUGCUGAAUAGAUAGAUAGACCGAAAGUAUCAUAACUAUACUUAACAAGAAAAUACUAGGAAAAGCCCACAUACGGUGAAGAUUUUUUGUUGCCGUUGGAAAAAGUAGAAGUCCCACUCCUAUUAACAUAGGAACUGGAAGUGGAAUGAAGGGGAUAAUCCAUGAAUAUUGAUAUGUAUAUUCCAUUAAAAAAAAACCUUUUUAUUUUUAAUUAAUUCUUUAUAAUUCACCGGCUCUUAAAUCUUUUUAUAGGUUCAAUAAAAAAAAAUCAAGAUAUGGAAUACUUAAAUAGAAUUUUCUAUUCCUAAUUAUUCUGAAUCAAAAUUUUAAUUUGUUUUUUUAUUAUUUUUAAAAACUGAACCAAUUAGUUUUAUUUUUUGACAAAAAAUUCAUGAAAAGAAUUAAAAUUAAUUUAGAGAAGAAAUGGGCCAGGACCAACCGAGCCCGGAACGGCCCUUUGGCCCCUCCUAGCUGGCACAACACAAGGACUAGCACUUUCUUCCACCAGGCCUUUCGCCUUAAGGAUUUUCACUUGACAUUGGGGUUCUUCGGGGCUGUUUGGUUCAGCUUUCCCAAGGGGCUUUCAGCCCUGAAAGCUCCUUGGGAAAAAGAAUUAGUGUUUGGUUCAGCAUCUGGAGCCUCCAUUCCCCAAAUGCUGACCUUUAGAAUGCUGAAAGCCCAAAGCAGGUGGGGACCUGCUUUGGGCAUUUCAGCAUUUUCGGCAUGCUGAUCCCUUUAAUAAUGAAAUUUUACUGGUUGCCUAUUUUACCCUCAAAAUCUUAACAAAAGUCCAAUUUUACCCAUACUAAACAAAACCCUAACUCUUUUAACACUCUUUCAACGCUUUCUCCUCUGUUCUGCAGCGACAACGGCUCUCUUCUUCUUCUUCGUCUCUCUCCCUACAACUCGUACCACUCCAUCACGAUUUGAAUCUGAGCACCACUCCAUCAAGGCCGAAGUUUGAUGCGACGAGCGAGCGAAUCCGAGAUCUGGCUCAUGUACCCUCUUGACGAGCGAGUGAAUCCGAGAUUCGAGGUUAGUUUUGUUUCUUUUUGAUCGUUUGCUUCCUCUCGCGGAUCGGCGACGGCUCUGCUUCCUGCUCCUGCGACGGUGAAACCCUAGGGACGAAAUGGGGGUUUAUCUUGUCUUGUGUUGCUGACUUGAACUUGCCCUUUCGAUUUGAAUCGGUGGCAGCGAGGAUCAAGAUGCACGAGCUGAGGCAGAAGUCGAAGACCGACCUUCUGACCUAGCUGAAGGAACUCAAGGCCGAGCUCGCCCUCCUCCGCGUCGCCAAGGUCACCGGUGGCGCCCCGAACAAGCUCUCCAAGAUGUAUGUCGGUGUUCUUACUUGAUUUUCGCGAUUUCGAUGGUCUACAUUGGAGCUUUUUUUUAUGUUUUUGGUAGAUGGUAAUGUUGGGUUUGGGAUGACCAUGAACUUUGGUUAUGGUGGUUAAAUUGGGUUUUCGGCACAUAUUGGAUUUCUUGUUUGUGGAAGUCAGAGCAUGCUGUAUUUGUUGCUGUUUAUAUGAUGAAUGAUCAAUGUUUUGGUGAUGGGUACUUUCUGGUAAUGGGUGGCCGGAAGCAUGGGAUGGUUAUAUUAUGUAAGGCAUUGGAAAUUCGGAAAAGCUCGAUGGUUAUAAUUCCCUACCGGGCAGUUAUGUUUGGCAGUGAGGUGUUUUUAAUGUCAGGCUUGUAGAGUUAAAAAAUUGCUUCUUGCUGAUGAACUCAACCCCUCUGUUUUGCUGAGCAUUAUCGAGUCAAUGUCGAAAUCACAUUGGUGGUUUUGGGAGUUGAAUUGGCGUUGGACCCUUUCUUUUGCGUGAUGGGUUGUCCUACCGGCGGCGACUUGGUCUCCUCCUUUUCAUUUGCUGAGAUCAAUUUGUUUGGUGAGCUGUUUGGUUGCUAGAGCUUUUGCAAUUGAUUGAGCAACGAUGUAGGUUUGCUUACUGGGCUAUGUGGCGGAAGACUUAAGACGAUCUUGAUCAAUUUUCGUUUUGAGAUUGGAAACUAUCGGGAAUGCCGGAAUCGAUGUCUUGUCUGUUUGAAAUUCUCAAUCGGAGUUGGUUUUGGGUUGGAAAAAUGUGAAUUCUACAAAUCGGUUCAUAACGUGUCCAGCAUUGUUAUCCUUACACCAUUCGAUAUUCAAUUUUCUGGACACCAUUUGAUGUAUCCAUUUUUGGAGGGUGGAGAAGUUAAAUUGUUUGAAUAAUGCUAUAGGAUAGUAUUAUGACAUAUUAAGGUAGGUACGAUGCUUUUGAGUUAAUAAUGGCUCAUCAUUGUCUAAUUAUCAAGCUGCCUUAUUUCAAAGUUGCCAGCAUUAUACUUGAAAGCCUUCCGAGUUUGCAUGAUUCAAAUUCAGCAGGGAGGAUAAAGUUUCAUUUUCGGCAUUUUGUACCUGAUCUUGAAACGUGGUUCUAGUUAUAUUGACCUCAGCUGUUGGUUAAUCUCUCCUGCUUUGCUGAGAAAUGAUGGAUAGUAAUUUGUCUUGACCAGAGAAUGAGGCGCCAUUGACACCAUCUGAUUAUUUCCACUGGAUGUACCUCCAGAAAUUAUCUGAAUAAAGCUGCAGGGCAACAAGGGAAAACACUUGCAUAUAGUUAGAUCUAGUGAUUUGUCGUGGAAGUUGAAGUGUCUUAUUUUACUUAGCAAGUCUUUUCUGAGGUAAUUUGAUAGAUGGAUAAUCUAUUGGGCGACUGUUUUACCUAGGAGCAGUGCUCGCUAGAGGCACUAAAACUUCUUCUGGAAAUUUCUUUGCAGUGUUUCUCUGAUAAAUCUUGAUUUUUUUAGAAACUAGUAGGGUGUUCAAGCUUUUGAUGAUUGAUAACUUGUUUGAAUUUAAACAUCAAAUAGGUCUGGUCAUAUCAAUUGAGGAUAAGUUUUAAUAGGAGGUAAAUCUAUCAAAAUGACAGCCCACUAUAUCAAUUCAGAUUUAUUGUAAUAGAUUAUCUAUGGACCACCUCAAACUUGAAAUAUGGUAGCAACUUGAGAGUUGCUUGAGAUGGCAAGACAGGCCUUAAGGUGGGAGGCACGUGACAGGACCAGGUCCUCCUGGGUUGGAGUGAGGGGUUGUCGGCAAACAAGCCAGCAGAGGCCGCGCGGCAGUGAAGGCGGCAGUGGGGAGACUAACAACCAAAGUCACCGAUCAACGUCGUUACAAACCAACACCGCCACCGCACAACACCAUUGCCGACCAUCUCCAUUCACUAAUUACAGCCACAAUCUCAAGGAAAUUAUUAGGAUAUGAACAAAAUGCAUAUUUCUAGAAAUUAUAUAACCCAACACCAUCUCCAGCCAUCGACCACUUUCGUCAGCCACCAUCACCGAAUGGAACCACCAUCACAACAAUCACCCAAGACUUUUGCCAAUUAUCAUCCACCCUAAAAUUGACAUCUUUUGUCACUGUCAGUCACCGGCAUCUCACAUUCAGAGCACGAAACAGCAAAUAUAUCAAGAGUACAGAUUGGAGAGAAAAAUUGAUACAGAAUAUCUUAUAGGAUUGACAUUAUAGGAUUGACAUUAUUGAUGUAGACUCCGAACAUUCCCUCAUCCGCAAGCACAUACCGCAAGGAGACACGCAAAAGGAAGUAAAAGAAAGGAACAAUUGUAUGCUCAGUCUUGGUCUCAUGAUAAAAGUAACACUCCAGAAAAAAGGGGUUUCCAGUUGUACUAAUGAUCAUUAAUUAACGAAGAUGAUUAAUACUAUAACAAUUAAAAAAAAUUAUUCAAAGUUGAAAACAAACCUAAAAGAACUCUAGGCCAAAAGUUGAGCUUUGCAUCUAAUCUAUAAUUAAAUUUUUUUAAUAUAAUUUUUAAAUAAAUUUACUAAUAUGUAUCUUUUACAUUAUUCUCAACAUAAAAAUGUAAAAGAUUAUAUAGCUAUUGUUUCUUUUAUGAAAUUUUAAAAAUACUAAAAUUAAAAAAUUUAAUUUUGUCACACUAAAGGGCUUUUCAAAUAUAUGUUUACCAAACAGUUUUGCAUUUCCUUAAAGCACUUUUCAGUUAUAGUUUACCAAACAGUCUAGCAUUUUGGAAAACCCCUUUAUCUCAAAGGUAUUUGCAUUCUCUUAAGGACAUUUCCAGAAAGCUGAACCAAACGGGCCCUUCGUGGGUUAGGCAACUUUAUUGGGGAUAACUUCGGUGUUGAAUAUCACGCAUGGGCAGCAAGGCAGCCGGAAUUUCAUCGGGGACAAAAAUUCUAAAUUCUUCCAGGAGUUGCUCAAUUGUCUUAGAAAUUCAAGUGCUUCUUCAUUUUCUUCUGUUGAUACCGAAAUUUUGUUGAUGUUUUGGAUAUCCAUUUAUUUUGCAAAAUAUAAAAUUUAUUAAAAAAAAAAAGAAAUGAUGAAGUAGUGUGGCCCGGGGUGUCCGGCCCACUUAGCAACCUUCGGCCCUCUAAGCUCGUUUCCCCCUCCCAUCUUCAUUUCUUUUGUUUUGAGCCCAUCUUGAUCUUUUCCUUUGAGUCCGUAAAAGCCUUAAAAAUAAGCCCAGCCCAAGAUCACUUCUUCCCCUUCGUCUGCACGAACCAGCAUCUCUGAGGAGGGAGGAAAAGAAAGGAUGGCAUGUGGGGCAGAGGGAACAGGACAGAGGGCAGACCGUCGACCGGGAGUUGGUCGGGGCCAGGCCGGCGGCGGCAGCUGGCACGGCAGGAGGCAUGCGCACCGAAGCUUAAAAGCGAGAGAGGAGCGUGCUGUUGUGAGGGGUGAUUAUUAGGGGGCUUGGCUGAAAUGAGAAAAAUGGUCGACCGCCGACCAUCGCCUCUGUCCACAGUUGAGCGGUGGUCUUCCUUCUUGUCUUGUCAUCCGUCGAACUUUUCCGGCAACCAUACGACACCAAAACUCUACCCUGAACCUGGUGGGAGUUCGCUCUCGAACACCUCAUUUUCUGCCCCGUUUCGUUGAGCACAAGAUCCGAAUCUAUUUCUUUUUGGAGAUCAUAGGACUUUGAUAUAGGAAUAGGACUGGGUUAUAAUCUAUGAUGUGGGUUCAUGUUUUUGUGUGUCGAGAUUUCAGACUCAUUUCACCAUGAAUGUAAAUAUAAAGCUUGUUUUCUAAAAUGGACACCAUACGUUUGUUAAAAUACUUGAAAGAAGACCGGAAAGAUUCUCAUGUUUAAACUCGAAACCGAUCUCAUUUGUUUCUGUCUUCGUCGAAUCCUACUUGAUUUCUUCGUAUUUUUCUGUGUUGGCCUUGCAUGCGCCCCUUCACUAGAGCCCCUUGCCGGCAAUCCCCCGUCCAUGGUUCAAGGCUAAUCGAGUCAGCGUCUCUUUAUUUUAACAUGCUUGUGCUUGUUUAUUUGCUGAGUGUACUGAUAUUAAAAAUUUGAAUUCCGGGUGAUGUUCAUUCUUGGUGUUCGGUGGUCGCCGAAAUAGCGAGCCGAAGUUGGUGAUUUCAGAAUGGAUGAUCAGCUGGAGGAGAUGGCUCGGCGGCGGUAUGUAUGUCGGCAACAAAACAUGUGAAAGUUGAUAUUAUCUUGAAGUUGGUGAUUUGGGAACGAUACGAUCGAAUGAAGAUAGGUUGCAGGAAAAAGCUUCGGCGAGGAAGUGCAGGAGGUUGAAGAUGAUGAAGGAAAAGACAAAAAAAAAAAAAAAUAGAAAGGACAAAAGAGAGAAGAAAUACAAGAAACAAAGAAAAGAGAGAAAAAAGGGGAAAGCCAACAAUAGAGGAAAAAGAAAGUAAAAUGGGCUUCGGGCUUUUUAGAUGUGGGCCGGUCGUCCAUACGAAGAGAAGGGUUUUGGGCUGGUUUGUUGUGGGCUAGGUUCUUUUUAGAGUUCGGGCCGAAAAAUUAAUUGCGAAGAGAAUUGUUCUUGGGAUGAUUUAUUUAAUUGCGAGUGGGCUUUUAGGGUUAACAUUUUUAGUCCAACCCGAUCCGAUAAGGUUCGGGUCGGUUUAGUUGGGUCAGGUCUCUUGACCCGGUCCGAAUUUCUUUUAAAUUAAUAAUAAUAAUAAUAAUAAUAAUAAAAUAAAAAUAAAAAUAAAAAUAAAAAUUUAUAUUGAUUAAUAAAAAAUUCAGAAAUAUCAUAAAAAAAAUAAUAAAAUUCAGAAAUAUCAUAAAAAAAUUCAUAAAAUUCUAGAAAAUCAGAAAAAUUCAGAAAAAAUUGGAAAAUCCUUAAAAUUAAAAAUCUAAAAUUGCAUAAUCCUCUAGGACUUUAUAAUAGGAUUCUUUGUUUUGAAAUGUAUUUUUCUUUUUAGAGACAAUAUUAGGAUGCUUACAUGUUUUCUUUAUGAUUAUAUUUGGUUACACUUUCAAUGUGUUGGAUGUUAUAUCCCUACUCUAGAAUGGUUAGGACGAACUUUAGAUUUCUUUUGGAUAAAUUGCUAUAACAUUAGUUAGCAUGAUCAAGCUAGGUAUCGAAAGUGUGUUAGUCUUAAGGCUAACAUAAUCAAAUCCCCAAGUCUAAAAUCUCCGAUUACGGAAAUAGUAAGAUAUCAUCCCGUAUCUUACUUGGUUUCUACCUGAUUGAAAAAACUAGUGGCGACUCCUUAGUUAAAAUUUACAUUGGCUUAAUUGAUUAAAAACUUGAACGCCCGAUAUCAUGUGAGAAAUGGGCUUGGAAGAAUCUAAAUUAAUUGAAGGCCGUCAGCUCGAAGUUGACAAUACCUUUGAACCUAAUUGUCUCUCCCACGAGAAGUUAGGUCGCGACAUCUUCAUGUACCACUAGCGCUCAUGCAAUGUGUCUCCUUGUAGGAUUUUAUGGUAUGUUCUUUUGCGAGCAUUUUUUUUUUGGCUAGAAUGGACAUGCGAAUUUCCUAGCACAUGAUGGAUACGGGUACACUUAUUCUUUUUAAAUAAAAAAUUUGAAAUACAAUGAUCAUCUUUUCUCAAUAUCAGGGCACAAAGAAAUUGAUGACUCUCACAAAGAAAAAAAAAACUCACUUUUUUCUUCUCUUUUUCUUUUCUUUCUAUUUUCUUUUUCGGUGUCUUAAGAGCUAGCGUCUAACUAUCAUUGAUAUAAAAUGUGUAGCUUUUAAUUUAAAAGCAAAAUUAAUAGAAAAUACAAAAAAAAAUCCCUAAAAAUAUUUGGCUUCAAUUGCCAAUAUCAUGAAUAGUUUCAACGAUGAUAUUGCCAUCAUUGUCUAAGUAACAUAUGACAUACAUCCAUUAAAAUCACAUCAUGCCACACUUUGUUGUGAUCUUUAUUUGUAAUAAUUAUUGAAUUAAACAAGGUCGAAGACUUUUACUUCAUUUCUCUCCCUCAACUAUUGUGACCUGCCAAGGUAGGGAUGCUCUUUCAUUGGUAACUUCAGAUUCCUGACCACAACUGCUACAACAGUCCUACAGCCUCUUCCGUCAAUAAUAGCAUUGCAAACCAUGUCAUGUGACGUGCACUUGUUUCGAAAACAUUGUGGUGCUCUUUAUUCAUCACCUCUUUCUCUUUCAGGAUAGAUCGCUUCCUUCACCAAUAUGCACAGUCAUUCAUCUCUCUGUUUCUCUCUCUCUCCCUCCCUCCCUCUGACACACACAAAUCACAAAUCGUACUAAAAUUCACCAACAUAUUAAUAGAAAAACAAUCCGUGAUUUGCAGAAAAAAAAAAGUCAAUAAGUUUAAUUUUGGAUUUCACAUGGAAAUAGAUGGAAGAGAGGGUGAUGAUCAACCGUGAUUUUGGGCAACGUUGAUGGGUGCCUCACAUGGUCAACAGAGAAUGGUAUGAUCAAUUGUCGGCAGUAGACUCAACACAUUGAACAUUAGCGCUUCAGAAUGUUUAUUGAAGUUGGUUUUUUUUGUCUUUCUGCACAACUUAUUGUUUGUUGGAGGGAAUGCAAGAACUUCAAUUUGAAGGGACUGCAUUUAUAGAAAACCUCAUCUCUUUAUAUAAGUGCAAGAAGCUGGCAAGCCUUUCAUCUAGCAUUUCUAGGUUGGAGAAACUGAGUAGGCUGAGACUUGAAGGUUGCUAAAAUUUAUUCCAAAGUAUGGGGAGGACUCAACUGAUUUGUAUGUGAAUAUGGGACUUCCAAAUUUUUCCUUGCUAGAUUCAAGGCAUGUAAUUUAGCCGAAGUUGAGUUCCUUCAUAAUCUUUCCCUUUUUCCCAUUUCAAAUUGGCUUUCAAACAUUUUAGAGGUCCUAAAAUGACUUGGACUUAUUUCGGAAACAUAAUUGAGAUGAUGUCCAACUUUAGUUUUAAGGUAUCUUCAUGUAAGCCGUUUUGCUUUUCAUUUAGCUUUCUGGCCUACUUGGAUCUCUUUAAAAAAAAUGUACGAUAACCCGUUGCUUUCUGACAAGAGUCUCCUUUUGUUUUGUCCCUGCAACCGCAAUUCCGUUUACACAAUACUGGAUACAGGAACAAAAGGCCAUGGCUUUCAUGCUCGAUUUACCUUUACUUUUUUGGGUAUCAAUUGAGGACGAACCCUUUUAUUACAUCAUAAUCCAACUCGGUGCACAAACACUACACAAUCAAGACAAAAGAUUAGCAUAUGAGCAUUUGUAGUCUAAUUAAAUUUGUAAGGAAAAGUAUUCUACAUAUUGAUUCUGUGAAUUUAUAUAUGGUAUCAUUUGAUUUUAGAUAAGCCCUGAAUGAAAAUGAUUGAUAGCAUAUAUUAAUGUUCUUUGGUACACCGAAAAAGCAAAAGAGUAUGCUACGAGAACAUGAGUAGAUGGAAAGGGAAAGGACCUCCGGGCAACAGUUUUUCUACGAAGAGCUAAUCCGUGGAAUCGGGUAAAGAAAGAUGCAAAGCAGAGUAAAAGUCAAAAAAGAAAACCUUAAAAGUCGCAAAGAAGCGGACGGGUCAUGAUGAGGAAAGAUCAAAGGUGAACGUCCCAGUGUCCCACUAAGUAAGUUCGCGUUUCACGGAUUAUAAAAGGGGAUGCGAUAAUGACAAACAAAUGGGAAUCACGCGAAGGAGCAAAUUAGAAAGUAGGUCUCUCUCUCUCUCGUCCUCUCUCUCUCGCGAAUCUUUCCUGUUUCAUUAAAAUUAAAAAGCAGCCGUCCUCAGCAAAGGCAUGAUGACCAUCACUUAUCAUGCAUGUGCUUUCAAUUCAAUUUGCUCCAACUUUUUUUACGGUAGCCUACCGUAAAAGAUCGUGAUGAAAAAAUAUAUAUGCUUGUGAUAUAGAUAAAUUUUACACACAAAAACUUACGAUGCAUUUUUGUCUGCUCCUUUAUUCAUGACUUUGUAGAGAUAUUUACUAAAUCCAAGUUGGCCAUAAUCUUCCUCAAUGAUUGCAUAAGAUUGACAUUCCAAUUUUUCCUGAGAUAUCUUGAUUACAGAAGGCUUCUUCUGCAAUAAGUUAUGUUUGUAUAGUUCUCAUUCAGAUAAUGCAUAGCACAUUUUGCUUUUCAUUUUUUUUUCCUUAAUUGAAUUACAAUCUCAUUGACUAAUGCCAUCCUCGAUGAUGUCUAUCACUUGGAUUAAUUAGACAUUGUAGCAAAUAAAGGCAAUUGAUUGGGCAAAUAAAAUAGAGUCAGUGUUAUGAGAUGAACAUUUGUUAUUGACUUGACAUUAAAACUUCAAAAUGUAAUGAAGCACUUGAACUUUUGGUUGAUGUGGCCCUCUUACUUUUUAUAUUUGUUUCGAUCGGUUAUGUUGAGUUUAAUAGAUCAAUUUUAAUUGGAGAGGCUUGACCUAUCUAUCAGCUGCAACAUAGAUAUAGUUGUUGCGAAAGAUAGUUAAAAUAGACUUAUAUUAACACAUUCAUGACUUUAUAAGUUUGUUAUAGUUUCUUACAUUUCCUAUAUCGUGAACAUCAUGUAGAAAAGAUUAUCAAAAUGAUCAAAUUUUACUUGUGUUAAGCUAGUCCAUUUACUCAAGUGGUUGCCCACAAAAUAGGAGGAUUUCAAGCAAAGUGGACAGACAUGGUGCCACUUCUUUUGAAGAACAUUAAAGAGACUAAAGCGACAGAUCGACCAAUGCACCCUUUAUCUCUAGAAUCAUCUUUACUUUUUCUUGUACUUUUACUUCCUCGUAAUUUCAUUUUGUUGUAAUUUCAAUUUCAACUCUUUCAGUUGACCCUAAUUGCAAUUCCAGUACAAUUAACAUUUUCUAGUGCUUAGAUUUGUGGAGUUUCGUUACUCCAUCUAAAGCCACAUUCAUGCACUUUUUUGCUCGAGUGUAAAAUCGAGGAGCGAUUUCAAUCGCUUUCCAAUUGUUUGAAGUAGCUUUGAAGCUGAGUUUCAAGAAGUCACUUAACAAUUUAGCGCUGAUUUUAGCUCCAAACACCUCCGUCCUUUAAGGUGGAGUUUCCGACCACGGACAAGAAAUGACUCCUUAUCUCCAUUCAAGAAGAUCAUAUGAUUAUUAGCAAAGUGCGUGAGUAAAUCGCCAAACAGAAGUGCGUAAACUCAAUUUUCUUGUGCGUAAGUCUCCAUUCUCUACUGCAAAAAUUUAGUGAAAACUUGAACUGUCACCACAAAAAAAAAAAAAAAAAAAAGGAGACAAGAUCACCUGGUCUUAAUCCAUUCUGCCCUCUAGAAAAGUUGGCAGGCCCCACUGACAAUUAUAGAGUAUUAUAUAAAAGCAGUAAUUGCGUCUUUCCCCCUAAGUCAAGAAUACAGUGGGGGAGAAGAAAACCCUUUUUCUUCAUAAGUCAAAAAUGCAGUGGGAACACUAUCUGUCUAUCAGCUGGAGUAAAUCUCAAUAUAAACAUGAUGACAACAACUAUAUUUUCUGAGUCCAAAAUUAUCGAUUUGUUAAAUUUGAUCAUAAUUCAGUUAACAAUAAAUCAAUGCUAAACAAAUAUUUGUAUCAAUUGUACAUCAAACUAACGCGGUAAAUGUGAUCUCUAGUAAAGAAAAAUUGCAGGGGCAAAUCAUUAACUAUUUCAGGCCCUUGACACACACAAUAAUAUUACUAAAAGAUCUUAUAAUAUCCUGUGUCUUAGAGUUGAGCGGUCUUUUUUACCCUUUCAAAAUCUUAUAAAAAAUACUCGAGUACAACAAAUAUAAUUUUAAAUAAUAAGAAACAUAUUUGAGUAAGCUUUAUUGUCAUCGAAAUUGAAUUAGGGCCAACAUAGACCUAGUUCUAUUAUUUUUUAGGAUAGUUGUGAAAAAUUCAUUGAUGUGAAUGCAACGUGUAUUAGUCUUUCAUAGUCGCUUUAGUCGAAAUCACAAGUAAAAAGAAUUACGGGAUUUUUACAUCUCUGAAAAGGUGAAAGCCUUGACAUCAAAUGACAUUACGUCAAAUUAUCAAGCUCGUGAUUUGAAUCUUCCAUACAUAUCAUGCAUAAGUACAGAUAAAGCAUACGUAAUUAGCCCCUCUAAUAUUUCAUUUUCUCAAAAAAUAGUAAAAAAAUAAAAGAGAGAAGAAAAUUGUCAAAUCUGGCGUGCAAAUUCAUUGAGACAAAUGCAGCCAAAGUUAGAUCACAUGUGGAAUAAAAGAGAGAAGAAAAUUUUCAAAUCUGACAUGUGAAUGCACUUGGAUCCAUGCAAUUAAAGUUAGAGCACACAUGAAAACAUAAAUAUUCACAUCACUAUAUAGGAUAAUCAUGACGAUCCGCCAAAUACUGUGACUCAACAGGUAAUAACUGUUGAAGUAAUCAUAAGAACCACACCACAUGAGGCAUGAGAAAAAUAUGGUACGAAACGCAUGCUAUGUUGUAUUUUAUCAAAUAAGUUCUGUUCCAGAAAAAAAAAAAAUGUCGCGACUAAGGACAAAUAGCAAUUCAAACUUUCCAACGUACCACCACCGACAAACUGAGUUUCUCGAAUAAAACCUUGUGCUAUGAAAAAGCAUUAAAAAUAGAAUUGAGAGCCAAGUCACAAUACUAGAAAUAUGUUACUCAGGUGAAGGUCUACACUCAUGAGCUGACAAUAAGAGCAAAGAACUACAUCUCCGAGCACAUUGAAAAAGAAAGAGCUAUAAACAACUAUCAUUAACUCAGGAUGUAGUAAACACGAACUUGUUUUUACGUUUGAACUCUUCAGUGAAUUGCCUUCCUCUGUUUUCACUUGUUCCUUCUAUUUUUUUUCCCUUGAAAGUGAUGAAAUAUUCACUUUGGAUAGUGACUAAGCAUAAAAUAUUAUAUGAUAUGAACAGAGUUAAUGCAAGUGAAGUAUAAUGUCAUAAAGUCUAAACACGUAUUACUGUAAUGACUUGGUUUGACGAGGGCAGGGUGUGAUUACUGAAGCCAGAGGGUCUAGAUAAAAUGGAACUAAAUUGGACUGUGCAUCAAAUAGGGGGAAAAUAAUUAUAUAUAUACGAAAAAUGGAAUUAACUCAUGGAGCCUUUUCUUAACGUAACAAUAAGUUUUGCUUCAAAACUUCAAAAUUAAGCAAGCCCGAGCUAGGGCACUACUAGGAUAGGUGACAUCAUGGGAAUGUACUUGCAUGUUUGCUAAAGGACAAAACCAUGAGGCUCGGUAUGAGACGGGUCAAAGUGGACAAUACCUCCAAUGAGUUAAUCAAGUGACGUCAUAAUAUAGUAUUAGAGCAAGACCACUCCAGUAGGUGUGUGGUUGGGAGUCAAACCAAGUGGAAGCUAGUGGCUUUGGAAUGCCCUGGUCCGAUGAGAGAAAGGAAUGGUCGCCAAUGUCAAGGGACUUGGACAAGAAGUAGAUCCUAACAGGCUUCUAGGAUAGCGAAGGGAGUAGGCAUGAGCAGAAUUGUGUAUUGAAUAGAGAGAGAGAGAGAGAGAGAGAGAGAGAGAGAGAGAGAGAGAUUUUAAUAUAUAUAUAUAUAUAUGGAAACCAUAAUUAACUCACGAAGGCACAUUAACAAUUUCGUUUUGGAACUCUAAAGUUAAGUGAGCCCAUGCUAGAGCAUUACUAGUAUGGACAACCUCUCUCCUGAAAAAUUGCUUGCCCGUAUGCCAAAAGGACAAAACCGUGAGACACAGUAUGGGACAAGUCAAAGUGAAAAAUAUCUUGAGUAAGUUAACCUAAGGAUGCCACAAUUACAAUGUUCAAUUUCAUCCAGUAUGAAUUGAGAUCAUCAUGUGUGACCGAUUCAAGUAAAAAUAGGUUAAUACAUAAUCAUUACUUUAAGAUAGAUCUUCGAAGCAACUUGAGAGGUUUUUAAUGGCUACCACAUCUAACGUUAGUAGAUGCAGUGAAAUGCUAUUCUUCAUUAAAAUUCAAAUGUUGAAAUCCUCUUUUAGACUAAAUGAUAUGAAUGUAACGUAUUCUUUCACACCUAGAUGGAUUCUUUCUUAUGAAAUCCUGUCUGAAGUUUCCAAUUCUUUGAAAAUGACUUGCACAUUUUUUUAAUUUUUUAAAUUUUUCUUAAUUUUUUAAAUGUUUAAAAUUUUUCUUAUUAUUUUUUUAAGUUUUUGAAUAUUUUAAAUAAAAUUAAAUUUAUAAAUCUAAUUUAAUUAAUUUUUAUAUUAUUAUUUACACGUCAGACAUGAAACGGCGUCGUUUUUGCAUUUUCUCGUCACGUCAGCAUGCAAAACGACGCCGUUUUGGACCAAACUCACCGGAAAGUCGCCACGUAAGCCAUUUGGCCGGAUUUGCCGGAGUGGCACUUAAGUGUCCCAUUUAACUUCAAAACUGGCACUCAAGUGUACCAUUUUAAAGUUAUGGCACUUAAGUGUCCUCCCGUGCCAAGUUAUAGCACUUGGGUUGUUCUUCUGCCUUGGUUCCCCUACAUAGAAUCCCGAGCCGAGCUUGUUGACCCCACCGGGCACCGCCUCCUUCUCUCCAAUUUUCUCUCACAUCCCUCUCAUCUGCUUUACCCACAAAGCUGUUUAAUACUCUCCAUAAAAGAAAGUCAUGCCUCUGGGUAUAAAAAAUAUAUCGAGCAGAUUCCAUGGGAGAACAAAUCUCAUCGGCUGCAAAUGCGAUUUCCUGGGAGCCACAGCCCAAUAUAUUGUUGGAGAGCCAAUGAAGUAGCUUACCUUUGAAGAUCUCAGUUCAUCCUUCAGCAACUUUCAUUUUCCAACAUUCCAAGCAAACCCACCAACACCUGCCUCGUUUAACCAAAUUCUAAUGGCUAGUGCUUCUUCUUCUUCUUCUUCGAAACCUAAGAGGAAUUACGAUGUUUUCUUGAGUUUUAGAGGCAUCAAUGUUCGUAAUAACUUCCUCAGUCAUCUCUACACGGCUUUAGAUCAAAAUGGUUUAUUCACUUACCUUGACAGUGAGGAACUAAGGAAAGGAGAGCAAAUAUCGCCAGCGCUUAUGAAGGCAAUUGAGGAAUCGCAAGUCGUAAUCAUUGUUUUCUCUGAGGACUACGCUUCCUCACCAUGGUGUUUGGAAGAGGUGGCAAAAAUCAUGGAGUGCAAGAUACAAAAAGACCUGAUCGUGUUGCCGGUGUUUUACAAAGUGGAACCUAGAGAAGUGAGAGGGGGGAGAGAGAGUUAUGGGAGAGCUAUGGUUAAGCAUGAGUCUAAGUUUGGGAAGGAAUCAGAGAAAGUGAGAAGAUGGAAAGAGGCUCUCUUUGAUGCCGGUAGCUUAUCUAGAUGGCACUUGAAUGAUGGGUAAGUCAUAAUUGAUUGAUGCACUGGUUUGUCCCAAGUAACCGUGCAUUUAUAUGUUGAAUCACAUGUUCGCUUUUUUUUUGCCCCUAAGAAACGUGAUUAUUUCUUUGAACUGCUGCAUCGAUGUGUUAAGUUCUUUUUCUGGUUUUUUGUCAGUCUUUGAACCGCUGAAUCAAUGUGUUAAGUUCUUUUUUGGUUUUUUGUCAAAGAUGAAGCGAAGCUUAUGCAGAGUAUUGUGAAGGAGAUCUCUAGGCAGUUAGACCGCACACCCCUACAUGUUGCUAAGUAUCCAGUUGGGAUAAAUCCUCGAGUGGAAAAAAUGGUAUCAAUGUUAAAUCUUGAGUUUGAUGAUGUUCUCAUGAUAGGAUUAUGGGGGCCAGGGGGCAUGGGAAAGACAACUUAUGCGAAAGCCCUUUACAAUGCUAUUUUUAGAAAAUUUGAGGGUUCUUUUUUUUUUUGCAAAUGUUCGAGAAGCUUCAAAAGAUUCUAAGGAUUUAGUUCCCUUGCAAGAAAAAUUGUUAUCUAAGAUAUUAUGGGGAAAAACAUUCACAGUGUUUAAUGUUGAUGGAGGUAUAAAUUUAAUACAAUAUAGACUUUGCCACAAAAAAGUUCUUCUUGUUCUCGACGAUGUCAAUGACAUAAAACAAUUAAAUGCUUUAGCUGGAGAUUGUGAGUGGUUUGGUAGAGGAAGCAGGAUCAUCAUCACUACUAGAGAUAACCAUUUGCUAACUUCACAUGGGAUAGAUAAAGAUCAAAUCUAUGAAGUUAAAAUUCUAGAGCAUUGUGAAGCUUUUGAACUUUUCAACAAGCAUGCUUUUCUGAGAAGCAACAAAAUAGCAAUACGACGAGAUCUAGUGGAUAGUGCUUUGGAGUAUGCUAAUGGACUUCCAUUAGCACUUGAGGUAUUGUGCUAUUUCCUUUGUGGUAGAAGAGAACAUGAGUGGAGAAGUGCAUUAAAUAAACUUGCCAAAAGUCCGGACAAAACAAUCAAUGAUGUUCUUAAGUUAAGUUACGAUGCACUAGAAGACUAUCAAAAGGAGAUCUUUCUUGAUAUUGCAUGUUUCUUCAAGGGGCAAUAUACAAAGGAUAUUAGGAAAGUUCUUGACUCUUGCGACUUUGACACAACUAUUGGAGUACAAGUUCUUGUUGAGAAGUCCUUAAUUACCGAAGAGUAUGGGAAAUUACAGAUGCAUGACUUGAUUCAGUUGAUGGGCAUGAAUAUUGUUAAACAAGAAUGCCGUGAUGAUCCUCGAAGAUGCAGUAGGUUGUGGCUUUGUGACGAUGUUCGUGAUGUGUUGUUGGGAGAUAUGGUAAGAUUUCCUGAUGUCACUAAUUUUACUCUCUUAUUCUCGUACUUUGUAUAUUAAUUGAAAUACAAAAUCUAUAAAUAUAGGGAACAGAUGCAGUUAAAGCCAUAGUAUUGGAUUUACCUGAGCCAGAAGAGAUAGACAUAGAUCCUGAUACUUUCACAAACAUGAGAAGGUUGAGGGUGCUCAUCAUGAUUAAUGUGCAUAUCUCUCUCCAAGGUCCCAUCUGUCUUCCUAAUGAACUAAGAUGGUUUGAAUGGCCCGAAUGUCCUUGGAGUCCACAAUUUUCCUCUGGUCAAAAGAAGUUAGUUGGACUUGAUUUGCCAAGAAGCAACAUCCAAGUAGUGAGGGAACAAUUUAAGGUGCGCAUUUAAAUGAAUAGUAUUUAGUUUCUUGUCUUUUAUAUAUCCACUUUUAUAUGCAUAUGAAUAUGAAUAUAUAUUGAUCGUUGAAGAUUUCGAAUGCAACAAUUAGUAACCCUGACGAUGCUCGUUAAUGUGCUUAAGAAAUAUCUCCGUCUACCAAAUUGUUUAUAAUAGAUUAAAGCAUUGAAUACCGGAUGUCGUUCAAUUAAUUGAACCGACACAAGUGGAACAUUCCUGUUUAGGGGAGUAUUAAACAUUUUCCUAGGUGAAUAUUGAUGUUCCUUCAAACAAAAAUAUACAAGAAAAUAUUCCAAUCUCAUUUUCAAAAUAUUGCAAGUACUGGACAUCAUAAGAACGCUGAAGUUAAAGCAUGGGUAACUAUUGGGCACCGAAAAUUGGACAAAAGCUUAUUGGUGAUAUAAUUUGGAGACUGAACAAUGAGUCUGCUUGAAUUUUUAAAAUACGUGAAAUGAGGAUCUAAGUUUUAUGUUUUUGAAAUGAUAGAUUCUUAAAGUGUUAUUUAAGAUUUUAUUCUAUACAGCAGAAACAAUCUAACAAGACUCUUUUCAAAAUUGCGUAUAGAAAUGAAAAGAUUUUUCUUACUUAUUUGCUUGAUCAUUGAAGUGAGUAUGCGCUAAAUGCUUUCAAAUGAACCUUGCAGUUUUUUCCCUUUUUUGUGGGUAAUGGUGUAAGAGCCAAAGGACAUAAAAAGAUGCUUUCUGUUAACAACUUUGUGCAUUUUUCAGUAGUGUCACUCACCGAAUUAUUAUAUGCUAACUUAGCUUAAACCAAUAACAAAUCGCAUUGUUUAACAUGUUUUCCUGGGAAACUCAUUAAUAAAACGCCUAAAAAUCAGUUAAAAAGCCUCAGCUUGUCCAUCAAUUUGAGGAUGGCUAGCAGAACUAAACUAAGGUUGAGUCCCCAUUUUUCACCAUAAUGAAUGCCAAAAGUAACUCAUAAACUUGACAGGGGGAUAUUUUUGGAAAACCAUCAAGGCGCCCAAUUCACUAAUAUAAAACUAAAUAACAUGUAAACCAUCAAGGCUCCAAGACAAUCAUUUUCAAAUUUGUUACCACGUAACAACCUUUCCGUGAUCCCCUUCCUACUAAUAGUAACAUUUCAACUCAUAAUGCGCGUGCACAAGUGUUGAUUAGGUUUGUCUCAAUUUAUAGAGUUUAAUUGACAUUCUUUACUUGUCCUAGGAAAAAACUCACCACCUUUAUCUUUUGAGAAUUACACGUUCAAAUACAAUUUCAAAUAUAACUUGUCAAAUCUUAUUCCUUAAACUCUGUUUCCAUUAAUAUUCUUUCUUUAAAAGCGAUGUGCUAUAAUUUUAGAGAGUUCCUUCAGAGUAUCCAAAUCACUAUGGAAUGACAACCCAUUUAAAAGGGCAUCUUCAGAAUAAAGUUGUUAAAACAUUAAUGAAAUAGGCGCGAAAAAUACUCAUCAUAUAUUCAAUAGAUGUGCAUCGCAGGGGUUUAAUAAAUCGCACAUGAGAUUCACUCCAUUAUAAGGGCAUGCACACUGUGUGUGUAUACAUAUGUAUGUAUACACACACCCCCAAAUGCAAGGUCUAAUUAAUAAUUAUUGUGGUUGUAUUGAUGAUGAUAUAGUGAGCUCUUACAAUACACCAACGGAUAUGUAGCUAAAAAAAUGAAUUAAGAUGGCUUGGACUCUAUUAUUUAUUUUUAUGUUUUUGUUUAUAUUUAUGAUCAUCUAGGCAUACAAAAUAUGCCCUUUUUUUUUUUAAUAAAACGAUCAAUCAACCAUCACUUCCUAAUAAUUUAUGACUAGAAGAGAUUCCCAAUCUUCUGCUACUUCUGCGGGAUCUAUAGGUAGGUGGUUAUGAAUCUCUACAUAAGAUUCUAGAUCAAUCAAGUGCCACCUAUCUUAGCUUAAAUUGAUGUGAUAAAUUAGUUGGCAAAGGACUGAUCGUGGCUCAUGUGCAUAAAACGAUCAAUCAACCAUCACUUCUUAAUAAUUUAUGACUAGAAGAGAUUCCCGAUCUUCUACUACUUUUGCGGGAUCUAUAGGUAGGUGGUUAUGAAUCUCUACAUAAGAUUCUAGAUCAAUCAAGUGCCACCUAUCUUAGCUUAAAUUGAUGUGAUAAAUUAGUUGGCAAAGGACUGAUCGUGGCUCAUGUGCAUAAAACGAUCAAUCAACCAUCACUUCUUAAUAAUUUAUGACUAGAAGAGAUUCCCGAUCUUCUACUACUUUUGCGGGAUCUAUGGUAGGUAGUUAUGAAUCUCUACAUAAGAUUCUAGAUCAAUCAAGUGCCACCUAUCUUAGCUUAAAUUGAUGUGAUAAAUUAGUUGGCAAAGGACUAACCGUGGCUCAUGUGCUGGUUGCUCUCUCUCUCUCUCUCUCUCUCUCUCUGAAUUAUGAGUAUUGUUUCUGUAACGACCCGGGCCCACUGUGUGAUAUUGUCCGCUUUGGACACUGAGUCCUCACGGUUUUAAAACGCGUCUCACAAGUUUAAGGGAACCCAAGCCUUAUAUACAAGGCCCAUGACCCCUCCCUAAGCGAUGUGGGACAAGAGGGAGAGGAAUCCCUUCCCCUUCCCUUGCGCGCGUCCGAGGACCGGAGGCGCGGACGCACCGCCAUCCCUCCUCCCCGCGCACCGCCGCUCGGGUCGUCACACUCUCCCCCCCUUGGGAGCACAUCGUCCUCGUUGUGGCCCCACAUGCUGUCGGGAGUCGGCUCUGAUACCAUUUGUAACAUCCCGGGUCCCACUUGUGUGAUAUUGUCCGCUUUGGACACUGAGUCCUCACGGCUUUAAAACGCGUCUCACAAGUUUAAGGGAACCCAAGCCUUAUAUACAAGGCCCAUGACCCCUNNNNNNNNNNNNNNNNNNNNNNNNNNNNNNNNNNNNNNNNNNNNNNNNNNNNNNNNNNNNNNNNNNNNNNNNNNNNNNNNNNNNNNNNNNNNNNNNNNNNNNNNNNNNNNNNNNNNNNNNNNNNNNNNNNNNNNNNNNNNNNNNNNNNNNNNNNNNNNNNNNNNNNNNNNNNNNNNNNNNNNNNNNNNNNNNNNNNNNNNNNNNNNNNNNNNNNNNNNNNNNNNNNNNNNNNNNNNNNNNNNNNNNNNNNNNNNNNNNNNNNNNNNNNNNNNNNNNNNNNNNNNNNNNNNNNNNNNNNNNNNNNNNNNNNNNNNNNNNNNNNNNNNNNNNNNNNNNNNNNNNNNNNNNNNNNNNNNNNNNNNNNNNNNNNNNNNNNNNNNNNNNNNNNNNNNNNNNNNNNNNNNNNNNNNNNNNNNNNNNNNNNNNNNNNNNNNNNNNNNNNNNNNNNNNNNNNNNNNNNNNNNNNNNNNNNNNNNNNNNNNNNNNNNNNNNNNNNNNNNNNNNNNNNNNNNNNNNNNNNNNNNNNNNNNNNNNNNNNNNNNNNNNNNNNNNNNNNNNNNNNNNNNNNNNNNNNNNNNNNNNNNNNNNNNNNNNNNNNNNNNNNNNNNNNNNNNNNNNNNNNNNNNNNNNNNNNNNNNNNNNNNNNNNNNNNNNNNNNNNNNNNNNNNNNNNNNNNNNNNNNNNNNNNNNNNNNNNNNNNNNNNNNNNNNNNNNNNNNNNNNNNNNNNNNNNNNNNNNNNNNNNNNNNNNNNNNNNNNNNNNNNNNNNNNNNNNNNNNNNNNNNNNNNNNNNNNNNNNNNNNNNNNNNNNNNNNNNNNNNNNNNNNNNNNNNNNNNNNNNNNNNNNNNNNNNNNNNNNNNNNNNNNNNNNNNNNNNNNNNNNNNNNNNNNNNNNNNNNNNNNNNNNNNNNNNNNNNNNNNNNNNNNNNNNNNNNNNNNNNNNNNNNNNNNNNNNNNNNNNNNNNNNNNNNNNNNNNNNNNNNNUGCAAAUCUGAAAACUUGGCUCUGAUGGCUGCUCAAAACUAAUCAAGUUUCCAAAGAAGGAGGAGGAAUUGAGUGAUCCCCAUAAGAUGGGAUUUCCUAGUUUACAGUCGUUAAACCUUAAUGGAUGCAAUCUAUCAGGAGUGGAGUUCCUAGAGGAUAAUUCCUGUUUCCCCUUCUUACAAGAUUUGAGUCUGUCAGAAAAUAAUUUUACUAACCUUCCUACAUUUGAACAAUUGUAUAAUUUGGAGAAAUUGUGGGUUUUGAAUUGCCAACAACUACAAGAGAUCCCCAAAAUUCCAAGGACAUUGAGAAUUUUAUGGGCAACUAAUUGUGAAUCACUGAGUAAACUUCCCUCCAACAUGUAUGACAUUGAGAAGUUUGAGUUAUCUUCAUGUCAACAACUAGCUCGCAAUGGGUUCUUUGAUUGGUUCAACCUUGAGGUUAGACUCUCUCUCUCUCUCUCUCUCUCUCUCAUUGGUGAGCUAAUUAAGAAAAGCAAACAUAUGGAAAGUUACUGUACUUGUAAAUAUAGGGGAGGUGACUAUAAGGCAAGAUAAAAGAUAUUCUCUCUACUUAUAGAACUCUAGUUCACUGUAAAACUAUGAGGAUCACCCAAUGAAAAAUUUCAAUAAAACUUGUUCAUCCAAUUACAAAUUCUUGAAAAAUACAUGUCAUGUCUCCACCAAUUAAGUACAAAAAUCUUUGUAGUGCAACUGCUAAUUAUAGUUAAAUUAUAGGAUUACCUACUUAACUCGUUGAAACUCCUCUUUUUAGGUGUCAAUUUUGAAAAAACUAUCUCACAGUCUACAUCUAUGACAGAAAUUUCAUCGCCAAACAAAAUGCAAAGUUUUCAUACUUGGAGGAGAGAUGCCAAAGUGGUUGCUCCCCAAUAAAUAGGGUUAUAUAUCUUUCAUGGCUUCAAAGGACUUGUAUCAGAAGAUCUUAGGAGCAGUUUUAGGUGUUGUAUUUCAAGGAGAAAUGUCAUCUUUCCCGUUUGAGCUUAUAGCAUCUGUUAAUUGCGAAGGCAGGGAAAGUAUCAGGAUUGUCAACUUAUUUGAUUUGGAUCAUGUGUGGCUUGAGUAUAUGGAAUCCAAAGAGGUGUGGCCAAUAGAGGAUUUUGGUCCAAAUGACUUGAGCCAUUUCCACCUUAGCAUUAGUGUAUCUAGAGAUCGUGAACUUCUACAUCGAAGAGUGAUGGUGAAAAAGUGUGGAUUCCAUCUAAUAUGCAAGCCACUAGAUAAUGAUUUGGAGGUUUGGCUUCAAAACGAUUAGCUAUUGGAUUCAGCUUUACUCUACGAGGUUUCGCAUGAAGAUAGUCUAAUGAACAUGAUGGAAAAAAGUUCAAAUGAAAUAGACGAUUUACAAGAUAAUGAUACGUGGACAGAGGUAGAAGGAUUCAACAUGGCCGACUUCUCAAUUGAGGUCUCUCUCUCUCUCUCUCUCUCUCUCUCUCUCUCUCUCUCUCUCUCUCUCUCUCUCUCUCUCUCUAUGCAUAUCUCUGAGUGUGUGGUGAUUUUCAAAGAAUGUCGGGUGCACUGUGUUUGCGCAUCGCACAAGAUGAAAAUACUUGGCAGGCUAACAAACAAGUUAAUAUAAAGUGAGUUUUCAAGUACAAAAUCUCAAAUUACACAAUGACAUAGAUCCAAUAAUUGUAAUUCCUAUGUUGAAAAAUAAAUGUAAAAAUCUUGAAAAUCUAUCUAACGAAUUAGUGGACACGUAGUUCUUGAUGGUGCGGUUCAUCAUAACAACCGACACCCUUAUAAUACUAGAUCAUCUAUACGGAUCAGGAUAAAUCUAGAGAAUGACAAUAAUUCAAUAAUUCAACAUGAGGUUCUCACUUUUAGGCGUUUGUUAUUGUAGAGUUAGAUUAAGAUAAGUCUUAUGCAAGUGCGGUAUAAUAUGAACCAAUUCUAUUUGUCUAUAUCCAUAGGUGAGAAUAUCUCUAAUCAUUGUUGUGGCCAAAGUCUCGUGAUUAUAGCCAUGAUGCUGCAAAUUCAAACAACAGCUGUAAAAAAAUAUUGUAGAGUAAUAAUAAUAGUGUUAAAGAAAGCGAGAGAUUAUGAGUAGACGAUUAAAUAAAUGGAUUGUAUUAAAUAGUUAUAUAAAAAUAUUUAGAUUACUUGAUAUAAAGAUUUUGUGAGUUAAUUUUAAAAAGUCUAACAUCAUUUUGUAGUAUAACGGAUAAAAGUUCUAAGGAAUUAAUUCAUCCCUGGAGCCAAAAUCUUACUUUGAUAUAAAAGAAGACAAGCAGCAUCAAUCGAUCAAAUCAAAGUUAUCAAACAAUAAUAAUAAUAAAAAAGGCGAAAAAAGGUAGAAAGAAACAAAACAAAAUGGCAUGAAAAGCCCAAGAACCUCUCUUUUGAAAAUCAGAUCCUGUUGGAUUUUCAUGGACUUUGAUAUAGAAUAAUUGCUGACCCUAAUCGAUUUGAACAUCACCACAUAAUAUAAUCUACUAACCUUGAGGGAGAAGACGUACAAGAGUUGCUAUUAUGAUAGAGGACCGUCGUGCUACCUGCCUCGCUUUGUGACACGUGUCAACUGCCAUAUACAUAUUACUUGGGACAGUUUGAUUUAAGUUAACUAUAGAGACUAUCAGAUUUGAGAUUCUCCUUUAAAAGAAAGUUUGAGCGGACAUAAAAGGUGCAGGAGGUUUGGAUGAGGCUAACCUGUGGAGAGGACAUGCAAUGGACUUUCCUUUUCAACUUUCCAUUAAUUUUAGGGCAAGUACAAGUUUUUUUUUUCUUUUUUUUUUAUGUUAAUAAUGUUAAGUUUGUUGCAAGUAAAUUGGAGUUUAAUUAGGACAGUUUUUACUGAAGAAUCAGCAAUGUCUAAAGUGAACACAUAAAAAUGAACAUUAGAUAGUGGGGUCCGACUAGGACAAUUAAUUUCUCAUAUAUGUUGUUCUCUUUUCCAUCAAUUUUUCACUUCGUCUAUAGUACACUCAUAUUGCAUGAGCUACUUUUAGAGUGAUUCAAUCUAAUAUUAGGGAUGGCUAACGUUUGCAAGGGAAUGAUUUCCAACGUAAGCAAGGAUCAAUGUGUCUAAUUUUAUAGAAGUCUAGCUUUGGUUGCAUUACUAGGAAUAGGGAAAAUUACAAAAAAUAGUUUUAAACAUAUUGCAAUUGUGAUAAUUCAAUCAUAAACCUUUUUUUUUUCUAGUUGAGUCCUAAAUAUUUUACAUUUGUGCAAAUUCAAUCCAUUUGGCUAAUUUUGGCCAAUCUCGUUAGGGGCAGGCGAGGCUCACCAUUGUUUAUAGCCUACAAGGCCGACUCAUUGGCCCUCAACUUUGGCCAAUUGCUAAGUUUUGACAACUAGCUAGAGGAUGAAGAUGGAGGGAAGGGGAAAAAAGGGAAUAGAAAGAAAAAAAGAGAGAAUAAAAUAAAACAAUAAUUCUAUAAAUUAUUAAAAUAUUAUUAAAAAUUGUCCAUAUCAACAAUGAUUGUGCCACGUAGGAUAGUCGACAUCCAUAUAGCGCCAACCGGCCAAAACUAAUCAAAUGGACUGAUAUAAUUGUAAAAAGUUUUGGACUCAAAUGGCUAAAAAAAUUAAGACUAAAUAUCACAAUUGCAAUAAGUUUAUAACUUUUUGGUAUUUCUCCGUUAUGAAUAUGCUCAAAAUCAAACUCUUCUUCUUGAACUAAUUACAAAUUUGGGUACUUCUAACACUUUAUUCAUAUUACAGAAGCUUCGCUAUUCCCGAAUUUAUCCUCGUUGCCGAAAUGUUUUGCUUGGAGGAGAGAUGCCAAAGGGGUUUGUCCUAGUUGAAGAUGGUACUAUAUCUUUCAUGGCUUCACAGGACUUUUUUGACAAGUUCUUUGAAUUGGUUCUCUGUGUUGUUUUCGGUGUGGAAGAUGGAAACAAGGAAAUAUCUUUCAAAAUCGUGCCACAUGUUAAUGGCCAAAAGCGGAAUGUGCUAGAAGGAACUCUCGGUUCAUAUGAUUCAGAUCAUAUGUGGAUUCAAUGUCUCAAACCAAAUAUAUUGUGGGGAUUGUUGCAAGGAGCAGUUGAUUUUAGUCAAUUUGAGGAGAAUUAUUUAAGAUUUAGCCUUACAAUUACACUAUCGGGUGGAAGCAUGAAAAAGUUGGGAUAUAUGCUAAGAUGCCCGCGAUUAGAGGAUGAUUUAAAGGUUGCAUUGGAAGAGAAUCAAUUAGUGGAUCCAGCUUCAUUCUAUGAGGACUCUGAUUCAGAGGAAGACACCUCAAUAGGAUACUUAAACACGUUUCCCAUUUUGCAAGGAACCGGAAGCAGUGACAGUGAAACAAAUUAAAUGGGAAGAGGUGAGUGUAGUUUAUGUUGGCUUGCAGCUCUUUAGAGAGCGAUUAGUAAGGCAGUGAAACAAAUUCGGGGUGGCAUGUGUUUCCUUAUACCCCGGGACAGGGGUUGGAGUAAUAGAUGGCGUUCGGUUCAGUCUCUCGUCUCAUAUUCAAAUAUAUGAAACUGGAUAGACGGUGACUUGGCACGCAACAUUCAUAGCAAGUGUGUUUGUUUUUCAUAUUUCCUUGUCAAUUGGAUCAUGAUCUCAUUGAUAAAUGUCAUAUUCUGCACAACAUGCUUAGCAGCAUCUCAUUUACUGAUUUCAGUGGCAUUAGUGUAUCCUUGUAAUAAUAGUCCUAAGAAGUGAGCCCUUUUAACUGAAGUGCGGAGAUCAUGUUAUCAUCAUCGCACCUACUGGCAACUGUUUGUCGGGUUAUCUAGAUCAUAAAAUCAAAUCCUCAACAGUCAAACUAUAGAAAGUACCCUCACAAAUGAUAAUAGAAUCUUAGUAAAAGUUCGUGAAGCACACAAGUCCAAUUUUCAAUUUGCCAAAAAAGGAUCAAUGUUCCAAGUAUGGUAAUUUUUCUCAUAUGGUUAGUCAAUUUUAAAUCCCCUUGGCAAAAUUAUAUAGCUAGCAACUUAUUGGUCAUGUUAGCUCAUAGUAAUUUACCAACAAGGGAUGAUGCAUCAAAUCAACUUGAGAGAGGAAGAUUCUGAUUCUCUCUACGUUGGUAGAGUUGUCCCUCCGUCCAUGGAGUCCUCCUCUAUCCCCGAUGGGUGAUAGCUUCCCCAAACCCUAACCCCAAACCCCCAAGCUCUCUUCCUCCAUCUGUGUUGCUUCACCCAAACCCCUAAACCAUGUACCCCCACAAUCCUUCUAGCCCGUAAACCCCAAAAAUCAAAACCUAACCAAACCCUAAACGAUGAACAUCACUGACGGCUUUCCUCAUCUUCGGUCUGCAUUUGCCACUAGAAUUCAGAAGAAAUAGUGAGUAGAUUCUCAUAGUGUUGGCAUAUCCAAGUCCCUACUCUGAGCUCCCUUCAAUCGAAAACCGCGAACAUCUCCAAAUCAGGUACGAAGUCCCUGUGUUCAGAUCCUGCAAGAUCGGUAGAAAAUGGAGAACGAUGAAGAAAAUCAGCUUCGUGUUGCAACUCUUUGUAGGAGUCUAGGGCACUUAUGGUCGGAUAACGAUGUGGUUGUUGUUAGGGAGGAAGCCCCAACCGAUAAAAUCAUAGAGUGCCAACAUACUCUCUUUAGGAAACUUCUAUCGCGACCGAUUGUAAACUUUCAAGCUUUCUGUACAACGAUGAAGAAGGCUUGGAAACUAGAUGUAGUUGUAAUAGCCCAAAAUGAACCUAGGUUUUUCUCCUUCAUGUUUGAAUCAAACGGAGAUAAAGAGCGAGUGCUAAAUUCUGGUCCCUGGUCUUUUUCAAGCAAUUUAUUGGUUUUGAAAUAGUGCGUACCUGAAAUUCCUGAACAUUGCUAUGAUUUCUCGUGUUAUGAUUUCUAGGUCCAUAUUCUCGGCCUACCUCCUGGGUGGAUUCUGGAGGAAGUAUAUGCUAAUAUGGCUGGCAAAAUAGGCAAAGUGAUGGAAAUUCAGUUAGAAUUGCAAGGCAAUGCCUUCACUAAACUUGGUAAAGUACGCGUUGAAUUAGACCUAUUAGCCCCCUUGAAAACUGUGACUUUAGUGCAUAUGGGCGCCAAAAAAGCUGUGGGUUGAGUUCAAGUACGAACGCCUCCCCCAUUACUGCUAUUCCUGCGGCAGGAUGGGGCAUUACGCUGCCAACUGCGAAGAAAUACCCUAUGAACAGUUUAAAUGGGCAGCAAACAAGGUAGGGAAAUAUGGAUCGUGGCUUAAAGUAGAGGCAAGAGACAAAAGCCCUCACCGGGAAGCGUUUUACGUGACAUCCAGAUUCUUUGACCCUGUCUUCUACUGAAUGAAUCGGGCAUUUCGUUGACGCGUCUAUAGGGUUAUUCUCAGAGCCGAUCACUCUCGAGAUAACUAGAUUAUCUGGGGAAAUUAUUAAGGAAUUUUAAGCCAAUAGACUUAAGAACUCGAUCAUGAAUCGACUUCUUGACCGUGUCCAUCUUUAGAGGUCAGUACGGCACAGUUAAAAAUCGAUUUGAAAUCAGAGAUAGAUUGGAUUGAUAGAGAUAUGUGACUAAUCGUGGGUGACACUACUGAAUUAGAAAAUUCUCGUCGGCCAACACUAGACUGAUUUUCUUAUUGUUUUGGUACCCUGUGUCCAUAAUUGAAUUCUCGAGAUUUUCACGACAAUCAAGAGUUGCCAUUGAGUCGAGUGGGUUCAUAGUGGCUCGAAGAAAAUCGACCACGGGUCAUUUGUCUUAAAAAGUUCUGAAAACUAUCCGAUAGUCUAGGUCACGCUAAAAACGCGCCGAAUGAAAAUUAACUGCUAAUUCGAGUUCGAUUUCAGAAAUUGAAGUUUUGGCCAUGUCACAAUAAAUUUUAGGAGCAUCGACUCAGUCUCAGAAGAUUUUUCGGAUAUUCGGGAAAUUUUACGGAAAUUGGGUUCGGACGUCGCGGAAAUUUGGCAGAAGUUCAGAUGGGCUAAAUUAAUGGGAAAUUUGACUUUCGGGUUGAGCCUUUGUGUGUCGGAGAUUUAUAGAAAAUUUCUUGGGAUUUUUCUACAUCAAAAUUGGACCUCAAUAUGGAGAGAUUGGAAUUGAAAUUUAGUUCGAACUUAGUUAAAAUCGAAUCUCAAGAUGGGGUGUGCAACAUUGGUAUCGGUUUGGAUUUUUGGUGGAUUCUUGAAUGAGGAAAAAUGCAGAGACGAUCAAUGAAUGAUCAAUUGAAUUUGUUAGAAUCAAAUUGAGAUAGAAUCAAGAGAGAAUGGUUGUGCAAUUUAAGCCAAUCCUCCCCCAAAUUCGUGUACCCCACCUAGCCACAACAUUUGGAUCAUUUUGGCUUCUAGAAGAGUGCAUGAGUGGUCCAUUGUGAGCCAAGGAAUCUAUACAUGGCUAAGAAUGAGUUUUUGGGAGAUAUUUGUGUGAGAAUUAAAAGCCAAAGGGCCCCUGACUCAUCCAUAUCCAUUCUCUCUCUCUCACCCCUCUAACCGAUUACACUCACUUCCCCAUCUCUCCAUUUUCCUCGCACAAAGCCGAGAAUAGAGAAGCCGCGCCUGCACACCCAUCUCCGCGCGCCCGAACUCCAAAUUCGUUCGGUCCAUCUUCUUGCCGUGAAGUCGCAAGAGCCACCGAAGCUGCCCACGUCCCACCGAAGGCUACAAGCUUCUUCGUGUCUUCAAUUUGCUGGUCAACAUCUCCUUCCACUGAAGAAGCCACACGUCCGCAAGCGAACUCUCCUCCACUGUCUUCUUCAACGAGCUGCCACGUUCGGUCAAUCGUGGAACCUCUCCACCAGUUGGUUGACCGCAGCAGCCCAUGCACACACGCAGACCAGUCACCAGCAACGCCAGCGAAGAAGGCCACCUCCACGCGUCCAGUAGCUGCGGAAGUUCAUUCCACCGAAGACCCCAUCGAAAUCCCACCAUCAUUCCUCCCUCCUUUGCCGCCUGCAGCCAGCCCCCCCUCUUGUCCACGUUUCUCUCCACUUGUUCUUGUCUCCUUACCGUUUGUUGACUGAAGACCAUCGAGCGAAGCUCCACCGAGGUCCUGUGGUUGACCUCUACAAUUUCCACCAGCCUUCGUGUCUUCAUCCAGCGUCAGCCGCGUUCGCAUGUUCUUCCAAUAAACGAAGCAGCUGCCCAACGUGCGUCUCUCCCUCGCUCAUCUAGCUCCACGGCCGAAGUUGCUUCCUUUCCGUCGUUACUCCUUGGAUUCAGCCCACGCGAAUUUGUAGAAACCUAGCAUCUCAGUCGCUAAUUCCAGCCGACAGAAUUCCAGCACUUUCGGCCCACCAACGGCGUAGUUGAAUUCAACAAAUGGGCCAGCAAUUUCAGUCUUCAAGCCUGCAGGAUUGAGGCCCAAUUUCAGUCCACAAUUUGAAGCUCAAGUAAUUUCAGUCCAGAAAUUUCAGCAGGCCCAAUUCAACUUGGGUCUGGCCCAAAAGCAAGAAACAAAUCUCAGUUGGGCUGAGAUUUGUUAGGCCAAGUCCAAGGCCGGGUCCAGGUCCACCGAUAUUGUCGAAAGUUCGAUUUCGGCCGCUGUCGCGUCGCCGUCACGGUGAUCCGGUCUUUGCUCAUAUCAAGUGAGUUUUACUCACUAAAGCUUUCUUAGUUUGCUAAUUAUACUUAAGGUUGGUUAGAUUUAAUUAAAUGCAAUUAGGUGGUUAGAUUAGUUUAGGUCAAUUAAAUUAGAAACUUAAUGAUGCAUGUUAGGUGGUUAGAAAUAGACAUUAGCAAGUAGACAUGCCAUGUUAUUUAUGGAACGAGUUUCGGUAAUUUUCCGGGCUUGUCUUGGUGUCCAAUUCGGCAUUACGAGCCUAAAUUGGAUUUUUCAUAAUUAUUUAUUUAUUUUUCGAAAUUAAUUAUUUAAUUAUUUAUUUUUCCGGAUAUUCAAACCGGAUGGCCGGUGACCGGAAUUUCGUGUUGAUUGUCGUGGUGUAGUCCGUUUAUUUAUUUGAGCUUUAUUUGGUGUUAAAGCAAUUUAGAAGUGAAUUUAAGAUAUAUUCCUAAACUAGAUCUUGAGAGGGUCGGGUGGGACCGUAAAGCCACUAAAUGUUGAGAGGGUCGGGUGGGACCGUAAAGUCACUAGAUCUUGAGAGGGUCGGGUGGGACCGUAAAGCCACUAGAUCUUGAGAGGGUCGGGUGGAACCGUAAAGCCACUAGAUCUUGAGAGGAUCGGGUGGGACCGUAAAGCCACUAGAUCUUGAGAGGGUCGGGUGGGACUGUAAAGCCACUAAAUUUAAGGGAUUGCUUGGUGUAGGAUGAAUGACCUAGAAAUGAUCUGUCUGACAUGAAAUCGACUAGGUCGAUUUGAUCAAUGCUUCGAUCGGUGAUGUGAUUGUUUGAAUACCUAUUGAACUGUACUAAUAUGCAGAUGGAAUCUGAGGCCAAGGUAAGUCCUCCAACUCGUGCCGUGUUUAGGCAGUCUAUAGUGUAUUGGCUUACUAAUCUAGUCUUAGGGGGUAGGACUCGCUGAGACGUGGUCUCAUUGGUUAUUGAAUAACCAUUUCAGGACCCUGAGGAGAAGCUAAGGAAGAGGAACCUAAAGGGGAGAAAGACUUUUGAAGAAGAAGAUGAUCCAGAGAGGGAUCUUGAAUAUAACCCAGAUGUGGACUGAAAUCCCAUCCCUUUUGUAAACCGAGUCUUAGCGUAGAUAGGUGUGAGACAAGUAUGUUGUGAAUAGUAUUGUAAACAUACUAUGAGUGCGCUGUUAAUGAAAGUGUGGUUGUGAAUUUCAAUAUGAAAAAUAUGGCCUACUUUCCUAUCCCAUUGUUUUAUUGCCUGGGGAUUUAUAACUGCUUCCGCAUGUGCUUAAUGAAAAGAAAGGGUCUGCAAUACAUAGUCCUGGGAUAUCGCAUUCUAAAAUCGACCAAGUAGAAGGAUGCGCACGCGUCCGAGGAUCGAGGCGUGACAUUUUAUGGCACAUAAACACCUAACCUAGAGAUUGAGGAGUAUGUACCUAAAACUCCUCUUCAGUCUAACCUCGAGAUCGUGGGCUGCCCUGGACUUGCGGCUGGACCUAAUCAAAGCAAAAAGAGGGCAGAAAAUCCAUAAUAAUCUGAAAACAGAGCAGAAGACAUGCGAACCAUAGCAGAAAAGUCAGCAACAGGAAAGCAGCGCUUAUAUUUAUUAGAUUCGACUGAGGCAGGAUGCCCUGACAUAGGAGGCUCCACCAGGAAGGGGCCAAAGCUUAUUAGAGCAAAAAAGCUUAAGAAGAUCGAGGAAUCAAGCUUGUUAAUAAUAGAAGACAUGGAGUUACACUCUUAUCCAGCUGAUGAAAGAAGGGAAUGGUCGGGCUUUGGUGACUAGCCCUAAUAAGCCACCAGCGAUAUCAUGAGGAUCCUGAGCUAGAACUGUUAGGGGCUAGGCAACCCCCUGAUGUUCCAAGAGCUUAGAGCCUUAGUGGCUCUGGAAAGGCCCACUGUGGUGUUCUUGAUGGAAACUAAAAAUAAAGUAUCUAUGGUGGAAAGGGUAAGGAGGAGACUUAACUAUCAACAGUCUUUUUUGGUACAGCCAACAGGACUUGCAAGCGGACCCGUUCUCCUAUGGAAUGAAGAGAUUCAGGUGAAAGUGAGUUGCAGUUCAAACUAUUUCAUAGAUAUGGAAUGUGAUGACCCCCAAAGUGGCAAACUAAUGAGAAUAACAUUCCUUCAUGCUCCAACAAGCUACCAAGAUAGACUUCAAUUAUGGCAACAACUAAGAUGUUUUCAUGCAACCAAUCACUUGUUGUGGCUUUGUAUGGGAGAUUUUAAUGAUACCCUCUAUACCUGGGAGAAGGAAGGCAAAUGGGAGAUUGAUUAUUAUCGAUUUGCAACCUUUAGGGAUAUGUUAAAUGACUGCUCAUUAAUAGAGAUUAACAGCAAAUGCUGUAUUUUUACAUGGACUAACAACAGAGAAGUGGAAGAUUUAGUAAAAAAGCGUUUAGACAAAGCAGUUUGCACAAUGGAAUGACGAAUCACCUUCCCAAAUGCUGAAAUCUUGGCAUUACCAGCGGUGGGGUCGGAUCACAGCCCCCUCCUCCUCUCUUUACAUAUUGGUCAUGGCAAAAGAAAACGUGAAUUCAGAUUUGAAGCUUACUGGUUAGAUGAGGAGGAAUGUAGGGAUGUCAUUAAGAAUGCUUGGGCUGCAAAUCACCAAGAUAAUAGAAGCAUGUCACAAAAGAUUCAGCAAGUAACAAAGGCUCUAAUGGAAUGGAGCAAAAAGUAAUUUUCCAAUGCAUCAUAUCAAAUCAAAGAGCUCAAGCAACGCCUAAUAGAUCUAACAAAUUGUAACUCUGAAGAAUCCAGUAAAGCAGAAAUUCAGACGAUAAAGGCAAACAUUAAUCAUCUAUGGAGGCAAGAAGAUAUGUACCGAGGACUACGGUCCCGUAUAACUUGGCUCAAAUGGGGCGAUAAAAACACGAAGUAUUUCCAUGCAACUACAAUUCAGAGGAGACAAAGGAACAAACUAACCAUGUUGAAGAUUGAUGAACAACACUGGACCAGGGAUCCCAAGGCGCUAAAGCAGCACGUUACGGACUACUUCUGAUCUCUCUACGACUCGGUGGGACCAAGGAACAUCCAGCCCAUCUUAAAUCACUGCCCAACAAUAGUAAUAACAGAGAUGAAUCAAUUAUUGAUGGCUGAUUUAAUUGAGCAGGAGGUAAAAGAAGCUGUUUUUCAGUUUGGUUCCCUAAAGGCCCCAAGACCAAAUGGUCUAAAUGGGCAAUUCUAUCAGCAUUUUUGGGAUGAAAUCAAAAGGGACGUCAUGGAUAUGGUCCAGCAAUUUUUUCAAUUAGGUCAGUUCAAUCCUAUUCUUAACCAGACUUUCAUUGUCCUAAUACCAAAAAUUAAAAAUCCAGAGCAUAUCAGCAAAUUCCGACCAAUCAACCUUUGCAAUUUCAACUAUAAAAUUAUUUCAAAGGUCAUGGCAAAUCGAUUAAAACAAUGGCUCCCACAGAGUGCUUUUGUUCAUGGACGCAAAAUCCAUAACAAUAUACUAAUUGUUCAAGAAGUGUUGCAUCAAAUGAAGAUCAAAAAGAGGAAAUGAAAAUUCUAGGCUAUAUUGAAACUGGACAUGUAAAAAGUGUAUGAUAGAGUGGAGUGAGACUUUCUCCGUAUGAGUAUGUUAAAGAUGGGCUUUUCAGCUCAUUAGGUUCAUUUGAUUAUGCAAUGCGUUUCUACAGUUUCUCUAAAUGUGAAAGGUAAUGGAGAGCAAACAGAGUUUUUUCGUCCUACACGUGGUAUAAGACAAGGUGAUCCCCUCUCUCCCUACUUAUUCAUCGUGAUGGCCAAUGCACUCUCAUGGACGAUACACAAUGCCCUGGCAAUGGCAGCAUCAAAGGGAUCAGAUUAAACAGGUAUUGCCCUACGCUAACCCAUCUACUAUUUGCUGAUGAUGCUAUUUUUUUUUAUGGAUGGGACAGUUAGAGAAUGUCAAAGUUUGGCAGCUAUACUAAAUCAAUACUGUUAUGCGACGAGUCAAUCAAUUAACUUAAAUAAGUCAGGCAUGUUCUUCAGUAAUGGCUGCCCAUAGAAUUUAAAACAGAAUAUGACCCAAGAAUUGCAAGUGCCAACUAUUGACAGGACUGGGAAGUACCUAGGACUACCAUCAGACUGGGGCCAAACCAAAAAAGAAAUGUUCGCAUGGAUUUUGGCAAAAGUGAACAUGAAGUUAGCGGGAUGGAAAGAAAAAUACCUAUCGAAAGCUGGGAAAGAAAUCUUGGUCAAAACUGUUGUGCAAGCAUUGCCGCAAUACGCCAUGUCCAUCUUCAAAAUACCUGUAUCAAUUUGUAGGGCAAUUGAGAAAUGAAUUGCAGCAUUCUAGUGGAGGCAAAAUGAAGCCAAGAACAACAUGCAUUGGAAAAAAUAGGAGAUUCUGAAAUCCAAAAAAGAUCGAGGCGGAUUAGGUUUUAAAGAAUUAAUUUCGUUCAAUAAAGCUAUGUUGGGAAAGCAGGCCUGGCAACUAUCCCAAUCCCCUUCAGCUUUAUGGAGCCAAAUCCUAAAAGGAUUAUAUUUUCCUCAUGGAGACUUAUGGAAAGCAAACAGAGGUACCCGCCCUUCCUGGGGAUGGCAAAGCGUUCUUAUGGGACAUGACGCCAUAGCACCAGACUUAAAAUGGAUCAUGGGUGACGGGAAAUCCAUUCAUAUCCGUCAAGAUCAUUGGCUCUCACAAGGAAUACUCAGUGAACUAGAAAACAGAGAAGACCCUCAUUUAGUCACUGAUUUAAUUGAUGAGGAAAGGAAAAAGUGGAAAGAGCCGCUGUUAAAUCACUUAUUUGAACGGACAACAAUCAACGAAAUCCUCUCUAUUCCUAUUGCACAACAGCCAAAGGUAGAUAAGCUGAUCUAGACAGGCAACAAUGGCGGGCAAUAUACAAUCAAAAGUGGUUAUAACAGAGUCAAUGACGCCUCUUUAAUACAGGACAGAAGCAGAGCUUCAUCCUCCUACCAACCCCCUUAUAGCCUAUGGACAAGCCUGUGGAACCUGUCAAUCCACCCCCCCCCCCCCCCCCAAAACUGAGAAUCUUUCGAUGGAGCCUCUGUCAGGAUGCCCGACCAACCAAAGAAAAGCUCUACUAGCAAAAGAUUUUACCUGACCCGUUAUGCCCUCUUUGCUCCAAAUGCCCUGAGACAAUCGAGCAUAUCUUCUUUCACUGCAAAAAAGCCCAAAAGGUUUGGUCAAAUCCCUGACUAAAUCUCAGCCACAGCACACUUUCAGCUACCGGAAUGGACAAAUGGGUGGUGGAAUACCUUGUAGCAAAAACACACGUCCUAGACCGCGAACUGGUCGUUGAGGUUCUCUGGCAAGUCUAAAAAAAUAGGAACAACUUCGUGUUCCGGAAAACAACAGCCCAACCCGAGGCCCUGAUCGACACAGCUUCAACACAAAAGAACACCUAUCAGCAAUGGAACACGAGGAAGCGAUCUGCGUUGAGGGAAAAGGAACCCUUACCUGAAACCUAGACGGCACCAAAAUCGCCAGAUCUGAAGAUGAACGUUGACAGUUCAUGGACAAACAUCGACUUGACCAGCUCGAUUGCUGGAAUUCUUCGUGAUUCCAACGGUACCUUGAUAGAUGGGUUCGCCAAAGAGAUCUAUGAGUCUUCACCCUUGCAGGCGGAAACCCUAGCCCUGUUUCAUGGCUUGAAGAUGCUGAAAGAGAGAACAACUCUUCACGUGGGGAAUGUACACGAACUGAACAAAAGAGUUCUCUGCGAAAGUGACAACCGCAUGCUUGUAAACUCAAUUCUGGUCCGCGAAAAUGCUUCUUGGGCUGUCCAAGAUCAGGUACAGGAAUGCAAAGCCAUCUUGGCCCAAUUGCCAUUAACAACUGUUUCCUUUUGUCCGAGAGAGGCAAAUCACGCCGUAGAUUGGGUUGCAAAGGCACUACGCCAUAAAUUACUUCCUUCCAAUUGGCAACGCGAACCACCCACACCCCUUUUGUCUAUCUUAUGUUAUGACUCUAACUUAUCUUGUAAAGCUCGGUGUUUUUAAUGAAAGUAUGAAGCAACAAGUUAGCAACUUAGGAACGUGAAAUUUAACAAUAAGCUACCAACUUUUUAAUAGAUUUACCGCUCAAAACAAAAACUGAAUGGGGAACAUAGUAAUUUUCCAAUGGCAUUAAUAACUUACUGACAUUGUUCCAUUUUUCAAGGUAGCAAGUGAUCACCAAAGGGAAUUUUCCAAUUUCAAUUGGAUUGUAAAUUAUCUACUUGCUAUGUAGAAGUUUACCACUUAAAGAUUAAACUUACCGGUGAAAUUAGCAAUUUAUCUACAUAGGUCCGCCUACAUACUAGUUAAUUACCAAUACAAGGAGGAAUUUGCUAUUAAUAAAAAAACGCAAUUAGUCAAUUAUUACUGAAUUAAGUAACUUACAACGUGGGCAUAAUUUUACUGAAGUAUGUUACCAAUAAUUUGAGGAAUUUACGAAAGCCAAUUCAAUAGUGUUAUCAAGUUGCUAAGAAAAUUUUGCUAUUUCUUAUAAAAUCUUAUAAUUCAAGUUGGGAAUAGUACAAAAAAAAAAGCCUCAAAUCUAUUGCAUUGGACAAAGUUAGUCCUAAAUAUUUUACAUUAGUACCAAUUUAGUCCAUUGGGCCAAUUUAAAUCAGAAACUACUGAUGCGAAUGCCAAUCGCCCACGUGGACAAUUUUCUAAAAUUUUUAAAUGUUUCAUUUAUUCUUUUCUUUUUUUCCUUUUUUUAAACUUUGGGUCGACGAGGUCUUCGGUUGACCAUCACUGGCCAUAGGCAAGGGCGUUGUGGGGCCUUGGCUGCCACAAGCAAUUGUGCACUCAUCAACGGCAUUGUGCACUCAAAACAUAUUAAAAAAAUAAGAUAUCAGCAUUUCCCGUAAUUUAAAUUUGACAGAAUUACGGUACUUUUUAUCUGAACUAAUUGAACAACUUUUAAAAUCGGUUUAUCCUUUUUCCUUUUGCAUUUUUGCCCGUAGAAGGACUUGUUACAUAUCUGCUCCCUCAAUUCCAAUUCGAAAUUCCGUAUUGAUACAAGGUUUGCCAUUAGCCUACUGACGUGCCAAGAGAAUUGCUCUAUGCGACCAUUUCAGAAAAUCAUGGCUCAAAAAUUUCAAUCAAAAAGCAUGAUAUAUAGUUUCCAACUUUUUUUUUUUUUUUUGAUAUUAUGAAGAGCAACGUACUAAACCUAAAUUUGAUGAUAGCUCUUAGAAUUUCCUUUGCGAGAUUUCAGUGCAAAGACUUCUCUUACUCAGCUAAUAAAUCUGAAAAUUCUCAAUAUGAAAAUAAAUAUUUAUCUGGCCUGAUCAACACGAAAAUAUGAGAGAACAAGCUUGCUUCAUGUCACGGGGUGCAUUUGAUUGAUACCUUCCACGACUGAUGAUGCUGCAUUCUUGGAAAACCGGUUCGGUAGUGAUUUUUGUGAGUGAAGUGAAUUUUGAUGGAGUACUAGUUCUUGAAUUUUUUUUAGCCAUUUGAUCUCUUAUACAACCUAAUAUUUUAAUGAUGUUAGUGUUAUUAAAAAUGUACUACCUUGUGGGAUAAAAAAUGAGGCGACAGUUGACGUGGCGGGUUAUAAGUGCAUUUGAUGUGUCACUUAGUAAACACCAAGUCAGUUAAUAAAUAGGAAAAACCCAAAUCAAGAACUCAAAGGACUGCUAUGAGGGUUUUGUAUCAAACUUCUAUCUGAUUCAAGUCUUCAUUCUUUGAACUACUAAGGAUGCCCCGGCCACCCUUCCCCACUUGGAAAGGAGGAGGUGAGGAAUUCGAUUCCUCACCUCCUCGGGGCUGGGGUGAGCACGCAUGAAUGAAGAAGCAGGGCUUUGCAACCUGCGUGUAGCUAAGAUAGGACCAGAUCAAAAGGAAAAAGAAAAAAGUCUUCAUCGUCCGGAUUUCCCUUUUAUCUUUUAUCUUUUUUCCGACGACUUUAAAGAAGCUCGAUUGAUCUCUCUUGAGUCACGACUCUCCUUUGCGGCCUUGUCUUCUUCAAAGCAUUUUCUUACAUGUCGUGAGUCUCACUUGUGCUUGAGCGAAGGCCAUGGCACAACUACAAGAGAAUAAUGAAUUGCCACGGCGGAAGUGGUGAUUGAUGAGGCAGAGAGCAAGGGUGAUGGAGUCCAUUUUGGACUGCUUUGUUCGGUCCAAAAUUCCACGGGACAAGAAUGAACAAAAUCAUCCAUGAAUUUGAAUGAUGGGUUGGGCAUAGAAUAAGAGUUUAGAGCUUCUAAAGCCGUUGACAUCUGCGUCAACAACAUUAUCUUCUUCCAACGUCUGCGUAAGCCAUAGUAUCUCCUACAGCUAGUGCUUGUCCCUUCUCGCUUUGGUCAAGAUGACUUUGUUAUCUUAUGAAUUAGAAAUUAUAAAUUAGAAAUGAGAAACUAAGUUUGAGUUGGAUGGCCUCAACUGAAUGCUAGCUGGCCCCAAGUUUAUAAAGCACCCGUUAUUGGUGUAUAGAUGGAAAUAUUCUUGCAUGCUAUAAUUGCUUGGAUAGUGGUCAUACACAUCAGGAUAACAUUAAGAAACAUAUACAUACAAAAAGCUUCCCUAGAAAAUAGUCUAGAAGAUACCAUUACAUGAAUUGUAAAUGCUUGAAUGUAUGUACCAAAAUACAAUUGUUGAUCAUGAACAAAAUUUAAGAAUCUCUAUCUCCACCUUCAAGAGAUUCCUUUCCCUUAAUCAUUUCUCCUAUGUCUAGUUAAAAAUAGCAAAAUAAACAAAUUACCACGUGAAAUGAUUGUUCAUCAUGUAAAUGCAUUGAUCUUUAAUUUUUUUUUAUUUUUUUUAUCAAAAAUAAAGUUGUGUUAUGAUCCUCAAAAUACUAAUAAUACUCUGAGGUUAAAAUUGGGAGAAUUACCAAAAAAAUAUUAAAUUUAUUGUAAUUAUGCCAAUUCAAUCAUAAAUCUUUUACAAUUAUACUAAUUCAGUCAAUCCAUCUAGUUUUGGAUGGCCAGUGUUGACAUGAAUGUUGGGCUGUAGCUAUUGUCUACUCAAUACUGACGUGGCAAUUUUUUAAUAAUAUUUUAUUUAAAAUUUUUAAUUUUUUUAAUUUUUUUAAUUUUUUUUCCUUUUCUUUUUUCUUUUCUUCCUCCUUGGCUUCUUUUCCCACCGUGGCCGAUGAGACUCUAGCAAGGGUUGCUUGCUACUAGGUGAGAUCAUGAAGCUCUCGCUAGUGGCCCCUAGGCCUUGCCCGGAUGUGGGCCACUCCUAGUCUUCUUGACAAAUCUCUCUCUCUCUCUCUCUCUCUCUCUCUCUCUCUCAGGUCUAAAACGUUGCCAAAAAUGGGGUUAACUCGUGGUCUUUCGGACGAAGAUUUUUUUUUUUUUUGAUUGGUCCUACUUUAUUCCUACUCUAACUCUCACUCUCAAAUUUUUGCACCGCUUCCUUGUAGGAUGUGAGAGUUGAAACUCACACCUAAAACUAAAUUAUCCCCACCUUAACCCCCCUAAGAAUGUGGGGAUUCGAAUCCCCCCACCUCUCCCUUCCAUGUUGGAAGGGUGGCCAUUGGGGCAAACUCCAGUGGUUUUCUGGACGAAGAUUACAUCAACAAGAACAAGAGCUCAUCCUCACUCAAAUCGAGCUCCUCCUCCACACACUCAUCUUCUUCUUCUUUUUCUUCACUAUUGCUCUCUCCAUCAUCUCCAACUUCCAUUGAUCCUCCGUCAUCUUCCUUAAGAUCCAUGGAUGACCUCUGUUAAGACAUCAACUUGUCCUCCCUCCACACGUAGGCCACCACCAUGGCAACGCGAUCCUCUAGAAUUUCUUGGGUGGAGAUGGCGGUGGUGGGGGUGGACCCUUCAAUGAGGACCAAGUUCAAGAAAAGAUGCGUGUGACCCCGACCAUUCACUGUUUAGCUUAGGAUUGACCUUUGCCUAGUUCAAGAUUGGCCUUGCCAACCAUAGGUGAGGCCUGGUGAUACCUGAUUUUUAGUCAACGCCUCAAAAAAAUGAAAAAAAAAAAAUCAAAAUUAAGGUUUUCAAUCGAGACGAAUGGGCUAAAUAGUGUCAUUCUUCAUUUUUUUUUUCCUUUUGCACUGUCACUUUUAAGUGAUUUCCUAGUUACUUCCAAGAAAAAUCCGAAAAGUCAAACAAUUGACUUCUUUGUGGACUUUUUUAGUUACCCCUUGACCAAAAGUCAACCCCGAGUCAAAAGUUGACUUUUUAAANNNNNNNNNNNNNNNNNNNNNNNNNNNNNNNNNNNNNNNNNNNNNNNNNNNNNNNNNNNNNNNNNNNNNNNNNNNNNNNNNNNNNNNNNNNNNNNNNNNNNNNNNNNNNNNNNNNNNNNNNNNNNNNNNNNNNNNNNNNNNNNNNNNNNNNNNNNNNNNNNNNNNNNNNNNNNNNNNNNNNNNNNNNNNNNNNNNNNNNNNNNNNNNNNNNNNNNNNNNNNNNAAAAAUUUUGCAAAAUUCGGUUAAGAACCUUAUUUUACAUUUUUUUUUUUUGGUUUUAGGUUUGAAAUUGACCAAAAAAAAAAAAAUCAUUUUUAGUCAUAAUUAGGUGUAGCUUCUUUUACGACAUUCAUUUUAGGGACUAUUUCUAAUCCAUUCCUUCACUCAAUUUUGGGAAUUGUCAAAUCAAAGGGCGAGUUGCCAUUUUGAGCCCUUAUUAAGGGAUCCGAAUCGAUCAUUCAUGAGUUGCGAAUAGACAUUUGUAUUCCACUCAUUUUCUUGAUAUAAAUUUAAAUCCAAAGUCCAUUUUGAGAAAUUUAGUUGAGAAUUUCCCAAUUUGAGGAAUUUUGCUCUUUUGAAUAUAGGAAAACUGGAUUAUUGAGCUUCAAUUGAAGAUAUUCAAGUGGAUCCAUUCAUUCAAGAUUAAGGUCUAAUUUCAUAAAUCUAUUUUUGGCUUAAGUCUCGCAGAUUCAAUUCAAAGUCAAUUUGAAUGUAAUAGGUUACCAUAAGCAUGAGUAAUUAGUUGAAUAUGUUUACCACAAUAUUAAUUGAAUUCAAUUUCAAUUAAUUCGUGAUUUCGAGCGAAGAGUUGCAAAAAUUGCCCAUUUUGGCUUAUAGGUUCAAUUACAUGUACCCAUGGCCUAGAUGCAUCAUUUUUCACAAUAAUCAUUCGAUUAGAUUGAUAAAAAAAAAAAAAACCCCCCAUAGAUUGCAUUUAAGGGGUUUAACUAGUUUAAUUUGAUUAAAAUCGGAUAAUUUCUUCUCAUAUUGGAUAAAUUUUCUUUUCUAUAAAUUUUGAGCCCACAAGAACUACCCAGCUAAGUAUUGGCAUGAAUUGGUUCAACCGGUCCAAUUGGUCGCUGAUGAGGCAGGCUAAUUCGGCCCUUGGCUGACCAGUUCUUCUAGGUCACCAGCACCGGUUCCCUACCCCUCGUCGUGUGUAUUUUGUCCUCGUGCCUUUCCAUUUUCCAGAUUUUGCAAAAUGGCCCUUGAAUUUUGUAAAUUUAUGAUUUUACCCAUAAUUAGGCUCUAAUUACGAUUCUUGUUUUGAACCUCAAGUUUUGCGAAUCAAAGCCAUCCGAUCAGUCAUAGGACAUGUUUUGAGUGGGCUUAGCCUUCAAUGGACUUAAUUUGGCCAUUAAAUCAAAGUUUUGAUCAUCGGAUUAAACCGAUGGUCAAGAUUCAACGAUUAGGCCUUAGCAUAAAAGGUUUUUUCCUCCGAAAUGCAAGGGGGCCCCUCAUUUGCAGAAUACUUUCUCUUUCAAAAUCAGAAAACCUCUCUCUCCCCCCUCUCUUCCCACUCUUUUGCUUUCUCCCAAACUAGCCCCUCGCCAGUCCAUCGCCCGUCGGCCUCACGUCGUCGAUCUGCCAAUCGCCACCUAGCCCCUCGACGGUCUUCUCCUCAUCCUCAAUCUUCUAGUGACCGGUGCCUCCUCCAGCAGUCGAUUGAUCGGCUUGAGCCAGUCGCUUGUUCUGCG
RNAcentral lists this long non-coding RNA (74348 nucleotides) under Eucalyptus grandis. RNAcentral's name for it is "long non-coding RNA (EGRA_LNC004769)". The record is from RNAcentral. Lineage: Eukaryota; Viridiplantae; Streptophyta; Magnoliopsida; Myrtales; Myrtaceae.